This 52266-nucleotide long non-coding RNA is filed under the name Musa acuminata (dwarf banana). RNAcentral describes it as "long non-coding RNA (MACU_LNC003725)". The record is from RNAcentral. Lineage: Eukaryota; Viridiplantae; Streptophyta; Magnoliopsida; Zingiberales; Musaceae.
CCGACUUUGUUGGUUCGAACCUAAAUGGAGUCAGAAUUCUAAUCCCGUCCGAUGAAUUGAUCGCCUUUUGUGGCACCAAUCUCGAUGUGUCUUUCCCAAAUUAAAAGGUUAUCUCUUGAUCUCAAGUCAACCUUUCAAAAACAAGAGUUUGACCUCAUUAAUCAUGCUCUGUUCACCUUUUAUAGUCGAUCCUCUCAUCGUUAGAUUCAUCAAGCUGUAUGUGUUUUGCUCUAAUGUUCUUCAAACUGUUGCAAAUAAUUCUACCAUCAGCUGUCAAACACAUACAUAGAAAAAUAAAUCUACUAGUGCUUCUUGUUAUUGUUCUCUGCGAAGCUCAUAUACCUUUCGGAUAAGCUUAUACUCUUUCCAAAUAGUGAUGCAUAUCUAUGAUCUUGGCUUGCUGUCUCACAAGUUCUUUGACUUGGUAGUCUCUCGAUACAAAGAUUUUCUUGAAUUGCUCAAAUGUUGAUCUUAAUAUCAACAACUAGAAAUCAACUCAGCAUAUGAUAGAAAACUGCUAAAACUAUGAGAAUUCAAUCAUAUCUUUAAUAAUAACGCGAUUGUGUGAGCAUUUCUCCCUUUUACAAGCAAGAUAUAUGUUCAAAGUCUGCAAAUUUUGCAGCUAAUUUCUCGAGAGAGACAACAGGACAUGAUUCAUAUCAGAGUAGGUAGAAGAAGGCUUUCUUCUUCUUCUUCUUAUUCUCUUGUUAUUUUCCUUCACGUUUGAUCAGGAAAACACAGCCUCUCUGAUUUGUUCACCUUCCUUAAAAGACUAUAAUGACAUGAUCUAAUCCUCAUAUCACUACAUAAAUUACUUGCAUCCGUCGAUCCUAAUUCGCACCAGUAAUGCAUGCGAGGAAGCGGCUGCUCCCAAACCUGGUCUCCUUCACCAAACGGCCAUGACUGCCAGCCUUGUCCGGCGAGAAAGGCGGCUCCGAGAAAUCCUCCGAUGAGUACUGCCUCCUGUGGCCAUUCUGGUCUUCAUGGAAGCUGCCAAGCUUGAUCGGUGUUGGCCGCAGGAACUUGUUGGUGUUGGGGAUGCCAAACCACUGCGAAGCACCAGUCGACAUCGAGCGGUAGUAUCUGGGAGCCUUUCUUCUCUUUAUUGCUCUGUAGAUGUAUGGGAUCAAUCCUUCCAUUCUUUCUUGUGUUUGAAGCUCUUUGGUCUGUGGAAAUGGAAGCUUUACUAAACCUCUCUUAUAAGAAAGAUGAGCAACGUUGUGGAGUUCCAUCUCUACGAAGGUUCUUGUGACUUUGGUUCGUGGAUGACUCGUGGAUCAUCAUGGAAGGAGAAUCUUAUCUUGGCUGGCAAUACAUUCAUGUGGACAAGAACAAAAAGUUCGAAUAAGAUAAAGAUCUUCCUGUCACCCACUGUUAGUAGAUAUUAAGAAUAAAGAUGACAGAAUGCGCCAGUCAACCACUUGUCAUAUAUAAUCAUACUUAUCAAAACUGGAUUAGGCUUGCGUAUUUGGUAGAAAAAAUAUUUAAAAUAUUAUCAGAAGAAACAGAAAUUUUAAGGAUUGAGUUGCAGUUUUGAUCUUUCUUUUUUCUUUAUACUCUAAAAUAAAAAUAUACAAUCAUACAAAGAGAUGUUUUUGGACACUAUCUACACUGCAUGACCUGUUGUAUUCAUGUUAUAGCUUUUAAUCUUGUCAUGUUUGAAGUUGACUUGUCACUUUCAAGACAGUUCUCUUCAGCAUCAUUGCUUUGUAGAAAUAAGUGUCUCCAUGGGUUGGUGGGUCAAGAAAUGGAGCCUUCAGAGGAUGGCAGUCUAAGUUGGCUCCUUUGUGGAGCAAAGCUGUUUGCUUCUGCAACACUUGUGGAUGAACAGUUCUUGGUCAACUAAUCUUACCUUCCAGGAAGGUGCAUAUGGGGGCACUUUUAACUGACCUUCAUUGAUCACAAUCUCUGUUUCUUCAUAUUCAAUCAUCUAAAGUAUUGCCAUGCCUCACAUUUUGAACACUUCCACUUGCCACUACUUUAUCUUAUCUUUUUCUACAUGAAUGUGCCACCCAACAAUUUAUGAAAUAGUGUGGUGCAAAAAGUUCUAAACCUUUCUGAUGAUUUUCCUACAUUCAGAGCUGAAAGUGAACAUAGCAGACAAAAAGAUUAAUCUUUCGAGGAGAUUUGAGGGUCAUUAAAAAUGGCCAAAACAGAAGCCAAGAGGGCCACAUCCAUCUUCAUUUGAUCAAGGAAUAAAAAACCAUCACUGUGUUUUUGCUUAGCCUACUUGCAUCUUCAUCUCCAGGUUCAAUAGAGAGACAAACAAAUGCUCUUUCUUGGUCCCAAGCAAGUUCUACCUGAAGAAACACCUUGAAAUAAUGUCCAAAUCUCUUGACUAAAUCGAAUUCUCUGCCUUCAUGAUCCCAUGUAACAAGCCUCUGAGGAAACCUGUGAUCCUUGCAGCUUAGAUUGCCUUGUUGCUUUUGGUUGGAGACAUUAGUAAAGCCAGUUUGCAGUAUGAAUUCAACAAACAUGACUUCCUUUUCAUGAUUUAUAUGAUUUACGAUUGCCUCGUUUUGACAUCAACACUCUAUGCAUUGGAUUCUUUUUCCUUCCUUUUUCUGUAGGCUUUGGUUGGAAAUUUCAAACUGGAAGUAGCAGUUUCGAAGGCCCUAUCAUGCUGAAGUCAUCUGUUGGACUCAGAGUUGCUCCAAAUCCUGUUUGUUGAAACGACGAGGUAACCUAAGAGAUGCCUAAUGUUGAUGCAUUAGCAAAUACACAGAAUAAACACCAUUAAGCUCAAUAAUCUAAUGAAGAAGACUGCCAACAUGGAACUCUGGAAGGAUCAAAUAAACAUGUAUGUUCUUAGUUUCAUGGGCAAAUUUAAACUUCCCGCAGGAAUGGCUGAUGGUUUUGCCAUUUCCUGUGGAUGUUGCUGGUUUUUCUCCCAAGGGAGAUGUAUGUAUGUUCAUUUCCUGUCUUCACUACAGUGGGGUGCAAAUUAUGGGCAGAGACUUACUGACCAACUUCCUAUGGAUUUCAAUUCUUUGGUCUUUGCCCCUGUAGAACUUGGGAUGCAUUGUUACCAUGAUCUGGUGGUAUUGAUAUAUAUUCUUUGUGAAUGUUAUGCAUGUUUCAGAAGAAACAGGACACUGCACACUGACAUAAGAGGUUGAGAUCUUUCAGAGCUCACACUGCACAUUGGCAUGUGAAGGUGGAAGAAAGAGGACUUUGCUGGAUCAGACAAAGUGUAUCCAAAAAUCUGUAUUAAUUCAGAAAAAAAGGUGAGGAAUGAUGCCACAAUCAAUCCACAAAACAAUGACUCUUUUUAAUUAUGUUCUUUUUAUGAUUUCAGAUUGCAAACCAUUUUUUAUAGUUUCAGGCAACUCCAUCCACUUCCUGCUCUCAGAGUAUUUCAAAUGAAAAAUCAACAAGCAGUGGCAAGAAGGAGAUCAUAUUUCAAGUGAAAAUAUGUGCUAAAAUCAGUUAAAAUAAAAAAUACAACGUAAAGUCAUAAAUGAUAUAGUUUGAAAUUAUGGGAGUUUAUCAUUUAUAUUUUUUAACACAUAUUUUCAUCAUAUUUUAUACCAAAAAAGAUGUUGACAGAAAUUAAAAUUUUUCAUAAAAACCUCAAUAUGUUUAAAUUAAUAAAAGUACAUUGUUUAAAAAAAUAAUUUAACUUUAUUUAUCAUUCAAUUGGUAUCUUUAUAUAAAAUUAUCAUAAAAAUAUAAAAUUAAAUUUUAUAAUAUUUUUUAUUUUCUCUACAUGAGUGCCAUAUGUUCACCAGAUUUUAUAUAUUUUUUAAAGUAUAUUUCUUUUAUUUUUCAACUAUUACAUGAUUUUCAUUUGACUCAUUUACGUGUUUUUCGAUAGCGUUUAUAAUAUUUUUAUUAAUAUAGUAAACAAUUAUAAAUAUUAUUAAAAAAUAUUAUAAGUAAUAUUUUUAUACUUGUAAUUGGUCUGAUUGAGGUUAGAAGUUGAUUUAGAUCGCUUACAAUGUUUUCGAACAUAUGUUUCUAUUAUGGUAGCAAAAAUAUUAUAAUAAAUUAAUUUUUUUAUUUUUAUUUAGGUGAUAUUCUUAAAUUAUUAUAAAUAUAUAUUUGAACAAUGAUAUAUCAAAUGAUUUAUAAUGUGUUUUGAUUUUAUUUAACUUAUUUAUAGUAUUUUCAAGUAGGCUUUAUAUUGUUUUUAUUAUGGUGACCAAAACAUUAUAACAUUAUAGUGAUCCAAACAUUAUAAAUAAUAAAAGAUGAACAUGUUUUUAAGAGAGAGUUUGGACAUUUUUAAAUUAGAGAUAUUAUUUGAAACAAAUAAAAUGAAGAUGCUGAUUGAGAAAUCUUUCUAUAAAUAAAUAAAUAAAUAAAUAUAUAUAUAUAUAUAUAUAUAUAUAUAUAUAUAUAUAUAUAUAUAUAUAUAUAUAUAUAUAUAUAUAUAUAUAUAUAUAUAUAUAUCGAUCAUAUUUUAUUAAUUUAAAAUAUUUUAUUUGAAUUCUCUUGUUCUUGGUCGGCUUUUAACCAGUGUGACCUCUUUCGAGGAAAAGGAGUCCACCGAGUCUGCUUCCAUUCACCGGUUCUUCCGCAAAGCAUCUCCUUUCCCUCGAUUCCUUCCUGUUCUCCCGCAGAAAGAUUUCCGACCCCCUCCUAGGUCUCUCGUUCUCGUUAUGGAUAAGGAGUACGACGUCAUCGUCCUAGGGACUGGGCUCAAGGAAUGCAUCCUCAGCGGCCUGCCGUCCGUCGAUGGCCUCAAGGUUUUCUCUUGCCACGCCCUUCUGUUGGCCUCUUUUUGUUAUAGUCCUUCCCGUUUUGCGCUUGGCGCGAUUUGCUGCUUUUGAUUUGAAGUUCGCUCAUCGACUUGCUUAGAGGCUGUUUUGCGACAACAUUUCGUUUUCGACCUGCGUGCCGAGUUUUUGAAGUCUUAUUCUUUGUACUUGUUUCGAUUUUAAUAUGGCAUAUAUCACGAUUGUUCAUGAAAGGCCGCAUUUUGGUCUGUCGUACCGAUUGGUUGUCCUUGUUACGAUCGUGAUUCACAUGAUUUUAAUUCAAGAUCUAGAAAUGGAUGAAAGCUUGUUGAGUUUUUGACGUGUUUCCUCUUUGAGUAGGAAUGUGAUUUCAAUUAGUCGUUGGUUUAGUAGAGUUUAUGCCUUUAUGAAUUAGAACUAGUUUUAGGACCUGUCUAGAUACUUAUGUGAUGAUCACUGGAGAUGUUAUUAUGAGUAUUAGUGGAAAUAUUUUUAAAUUUGCACAUGCAAUAUGCUGUAAAUCUGCAUUUCAGUUGUUCUCUAAUGAGUUUCUUUUGCUUGCCAAAAUGUUUCGGGUCCUACACAUGGACAGGAAUGAUUACUAUAGAGGAGAGUCAACCUCACUCAAUCUCAUCCAGGCAAGAAACAUAAACAGAGAACAAUCCAUUGUGCAUGUGUGUUUUGCUUGCUUGUGAGUGGACAUGCUAUUUGUUCUAUGGGUUCCCACUACACUUCCUCAUGACAAAUAUAUUAGCAUAACAACACUGUAUUAGGCCUUAGUAUUGUCAUGUCAAUCAACAUGUGUUUGCAUGGGUUGAAAUGUGUCAUAGCAUUUAGUGAUCAUGCCAUGCCAAGCCAAGUUGGAGUGCCAUUUUAUGGCUAGAUGAAAAUUUAUCCUAUGCUGACCAGCACAUGGUGGUGCUGAUUGGCAUGGUAUAAAAAUGUGCCAUGGCAGAAAUGUAUUGGCAUGUCCCAUGCCACAUGGCAAUCCUUGGUUAUUCCAACCAUUAUAAGUCAAGUGUUAGGAAAACCAUAAAACUGUCAUUACUUUUGCCUCAUUACUUUUGCCCUUGAGAGAUGAAGGGAAAAGAGAUCAGAUUAGCUUUUGACAGUGUACUUCUACAGUCUUUGAUUUCUUGGUCUUUUUUAUUUUGUAGGAGCAAUACAGUGUGAAUAAACUAAAGAAUUUUUGUGGCUCUUCAUUACAGUUCCACUUAACAAAACUUGUUUACAACUGCUCUAAUAUUUAUGCUCAUCCGUCAAUUCAUUAUUUUUUUCCUUGAGAAAUGAAUGGAAAUUUGACUAGAUCAAAAUAUUAUUUUUCAUCUUUGUUCUGAAACAUGUUACAUUUUUUUUCAAGUUCAAGUGAGCAAUAUUGUCAUACUGAACUUCCUUUAUCAUCCUAUUCAAGCUUACACAUAAUCUUUUGCACAGCUCUGGAAAAGGUUUAGGGGCAGUGAUAAGCCCCCCAGCACUUUUGGGUUCCAGCAGAGAGUACAAUGUUGACAUGAUUCCAAAGGUUUGUUCAUCUUCUUCUCAUUCAACUCUCGAUAUGUAAAAUCACUGUAGUAUGUUUACUCUGUAUGAGUGAAUACUAUUUUCUUAAAUUAUUUGACUCAAUAGAACUAGUCAUAACAUUCACAAAGUGAUUGAUCAUCAUCAAAAAGAGAUGAGCAGUUUGUGCUAUUUGUAGAGCAUUUGAUUUUGUUAGUUGAUGUUAUUGCUAUGUUUUUUUCUUUUUUGGUGGAAUUAUCCAAAACUAGAUCAAAAUAUCAUAAGCAGGUAUUUCAUGAGAUUUACAUCAAGGUUUGAUGUUCAAACUUGUCACCUUGACAAGCUAUUUUAUUAAAUUAAAUAGAAGGGUGCUGAGGAUACUAGACUGAACAUAUUACAUACUUUAAUUUCUAACUAAUGAUAUUGUUAUAAGGAGAUGAAUUAAAGCUUAUCAUUUCUCAUAAAGAAAAGCUGGCACACUAUAUUUUACUAUAAACAAAAGUAAAAAUACACUGAAAUAUAGCUUUCAUGUCUGACACUGUUGAAUCAGAGAUAUGAUCCCGAUUGGCUAAAUCUCAGUACAAAUGCUAUGUGAUAUUAACUUGAUAUAAAAAUACUCUUGCAGGUCAGUGUAAAAAGAAUGUUGUUUUUUUAAAAUAUUAAACAGAAUAAUGUUGAUUUUAUUAGUAACAAUCCAUGAAGUGAAUUCAGGAUUGAAGAGUUUGCAUUUAGUUCAUUGUGAAAAUUUUGCAUUUUGAAGUUUGACCUACUUAUAUAAGUACCAAAGUUUUUUGGAUAGAUUAUAAAUCAAUUAAAAAUAAAUUAUUCAGUGCUUUCUAUUUAAUGAAUACACUAAUGGCCUUUACUCAUUUGUGUCUGGUUUUUAAGUUAGUUAAAAAAACAAAAUCUGGAAAAGAUAAAGUUCUGAAUUGUUAGAAACCUGUGCUUAACAGAACAUUUCAAUUUAGUUUGAAAACAAUGGGGACUGAUUCGCGUCAAAGUGAUGAAUUGUUAACUGGUCACUAUUUCUGAUUCUCUGAAGGAAAUUGAUUUGCAGUUCUAGCUUGUAAUUCUUUCAGCUAUGAGGCAAAUAAUAAAUGAAAGGAUUCUUUGGUUCCUGAUCCUGAUAGUUUUUGCAAUUAAAUUUUUGCCACUGCCUUUCCCUUUUAUCUUAUCUGGUCAAACCUUCAUCUGCAGAGCUGGCCUUCUCUGCCAACGAAACAGGAUCUGUAAUCAUCCUUGUAACUGAAAGAUUGAUGAUAUGGUUAUAUAUUUUCUUCAGCUUUUUAUCAAUUUUUUUAUAAAUGAAAAACUGUAUUUGAGCAGGAAAUAGUUUUUAGGCAAUUUAAGGGGAACAUCAUUCUUUUUAUUUCUGUUGAUGCUCAAAACAUUUUUGUUGAGUUCUGAGAUAGAAUAACUGCUUAUGCAUUAAGUUGUUACAAAAAGGAAAAUUUGUCUAUUUUUUGCAAAACCUAACAUUGUCACAAUGUCCUUGUGUUUUAACAGGUAUCUUUUCUGCUGUUCUUAUUCCCACAAUGUUGUCCCAAAAUGGAAGUUCAUUGCUUUUGUCUCAACUGAAGCUGAGACUGACCAUCCAGAUAUAGAACUAAAGGCAGGAAUUGAUCUUCUGGGACGAGUAGAUGAAUUAUUUUUUGAUACUUAUGACGGAUAUGAACCAGUCAACGACCCUUCACUUGAUAAUUGCUUCAUUUCAACUGUAAGUCUCACUGAUAUUAUAUGUAGUUACAAUUACCAAAAAAAUAAUAUAUUUUAUGCUCAUUUUUCUAGAAGAACAUUGACAAUUCUACUAUCUGGCAGAGCUAUGAUGCUACAACUCAUUUUGAAUCAACUGUUGUGGAUGUUCUUUCUAUGUAUACCAAGAUCACUGGAAGGGUAACAUCUUUUUUGUGCUUUUCAAUCCGACUUCCCUUGACAUUCUCCUUUUUUCAUCCAUUGUAAAAAUAUCCAUGUAUCAAGUUAGGCAGUCACUAUUUAUAUUUUUAGUGUACUACCUCUGUGUAUGGCACUUUCCAACUCUCGGCAAUCUAAAAUAUAUUUACAACUUGCAUACUUGAUCAUUUUGACUUUUUCAUUCUGAGGUGAACUUCUAGGACCAAGUAGUCAAUCUAGAAUCUGGUUCCCACAUUACCAUACUUAAUGAUACCUUCUCGGGUUAUUUUGGGAUUCGACACUUAGGAGGUAUAUGGCUACUGCCUGGUUCAAGUUUUGAUUUUAUGCUGGUUAGCUCUUGUUGUUUGUGGCAUUUUACAUCUGUUUGUCCAUGUUAUAUAAGACUAUAAGUUAUGGCAAUAAUGUAUCUAGCAGACAGUAUUAUUGCCAUUUUGUAUUCAACCUCCUUUAUUAUGGCCUUAUUCCUUAUAUUCUCCUGUUAAGUAUUACAUUUUUCACCAAAUUUAUUUUUCGUGAGCAAUGAUUCUUUUUUUCCCUAACAUGAUAAAUUGCUGGUAGGAUGUUUGUGGCUCGAUCCUUUUCCUUAUUAUCUGCUUCUUGUUAACUAAAAUUCUGUCACUAGAGUUUUUAUGGACUAGGCCGACAAGAACAACUUGAGCAACCCAAGCCAUUAGUAUUGGAGAGGGAGAGAGAUCAAAUAUUUACCAAUCCGAUCGUGAAUCAUAGCCUCCAUCAGUAGGGAUUACUAUGGGCUUAAACCUGCUGCUUAACAUCAUUCCAUUGUUUUAAAAGGUCUCUUUGCUGACAUUUUCAGCCAAGGGAGUCUCAUUUUAAGCCUCUAUAGCCUUAUUUCAAGCUUUUAUGCUAUCUCCUGCACUCUUCAUUUCAUUACAAGAUCAAAGCUUGAGAAACCCUAUAAGUUUUAGUUCAAAUUGAUAAUAUCAUUUCAUUUUUGUUAGUUUGCAAUGCUACACGAUUUGCUACCAGGAUGAUCCACUGCUCGAUGAGGUAAGAGGUUCACUGUAUCCAUCAAAUUUCAUUUUAUAAUGCAUUGCAAAAGUGGAUCAGAAUGUGGAAUUUUGGAUUAUCAGCAUCAUAGCUCCCUUUCCCGCCUCUACUAGGUGUAGCAACAUAUUAUGUUGCAAUAUGUAGUUUACCUAUUGAUUAGCUUCUAUCAUGUAUUGACAAUGUUGACUAAUAUCAUAUAUUGAGAGCAAUACUAUUCCUGGGUUCCAUAAAUUGAUGCUAUUGAUCUCUAGACACUGGCACUUCCUGAGGCAUCACAUAUCAUGCAUUGUAAUAUCUACCAAUAUUAUAUGCUGAAGGAGCAAUAUUCACCAUAACCGCCUCCUAAGGCACCGCAAAUUAGGUUUUGGUAUCAGUAGGGGGAGGAUGAUGCAUCUUCUACUCAACUUGUGAAUAUCAAAGUUUUUAUUCUCGGUCUCAAACUCUCAUGUAUGAUUGAACUUGUAUGCUAACUUUAGAAUUUUUAUGUUUUACAUAUGUUCUUUUCCUGGUAUGUUUAUUAAUAGGUCAUGGGUAAAUGUAAAAGGUCACAUACUUAUACUCACCAAAACACGGUCCAAUCGUCCAACCACCAACUGGUUAAUAUCAGACGGUUGUCCGAAUCAUAGAAUGUGGGUGAUGUCAGAGUUGAUUCCAAAAACUUCAUCCAAGGUUGAAUCCAUGAGUAUUUGUUGCAAGGAUUGGUCAGAGGUCAGGCCACACUGUAGCAAUUCCUCAUAUUUACAAAUUUUUUGAUGUUGUAUACUUUUUUCUUAUAUCGAGAUUUCCUUGUAGAGCUCAAUUGUAUGGUUUUUUUGGUGCAACAUCAAUUCCUGAAGUGAUAAGUGCAGGGUUUUGUAUUAUGGAAAAUUAUAGAAACAUUGUACAAUGUCCUAAAUGUUCUUUUCUUUUUACAGACUUUUGAUCUCAGCAUAGAUCUAAGUGCUGCUGAAGAAUGAUGACUGCAUCCAGGGUAUAUGACAGGAAAGUUCUCAUCUCAGUAUUUUUCAUCAUAUGAUCAUAUCAAUAUAGCAUUCUAUUUGAAGCUGAAUGGAUCUGCAAUGAUGAUAUGUGCUUCUUGAAUAUAUUCUCCCUGAACAUAGCAUAGCUAUUAAGUUAACAUUGUACAUUAAGAUUCAUUGUUUUUGAUGGGUUUCACUGUUGUCAAGGUUGUAUCAGAGAUGGAUUAUGCUAUAGAAGAAUGAUGUUUCUCUCCUGUGUUCGUUGCAUUCUUUGUCCACUCUUUUGUUUCAUUGGUCAAAACAAACCUGUUGCUUAAAGAGAAUCAUGCUUCAGAGUUGUGUUGGAUGCUGUGGAUAUCAUGCUUUUUUUUUUGUCUCAUGCAUAGCAGAGGAUAAAUUGCUUUCUAAGUUAGACUAUUGAAGUGCAUGCACCAAAUCAUCUUACAUUGAACACUCAUAUCAUGGUUUCUAAGCUUGUAUAUAGUUUCCAGAUUCAGAAACCACAAAUGCAUCACCUUUGGAUUUUAUAAUUCUUUUUAACUGGAAUUUUCAUUACAUUAAAUUGCAUAUUAGAUUGCUCCCAUGGAUUCAAAUAUGAGAUUUAUCACCAGGAUGUCUCAGAAAGAAACACCUUGGGAUUCCAUUUUGAUGUCAAGUGUGCAUAGGUACAUCAUUUAGGAGGAUAGAUGCCAUCAACCUCAAGUAUUUUUCUGCUUCACCCUAAAAUAGCAACUGCUUUUAGGUAGAGAAAAGAACCUCGUAGUUGUCAUUUUAUACUGGAUUUUCUGGUAAAUUUGCAUAUAUAUAUAUAUAUAUAUAUAUAUAUAUAUAUAUAUAUAUAUAUAUAUAUAUAUAUGUGUGUGUGUGUGUGUGUGUGUGUGUGUGUGUGUAAAUUUUUGAAACAAUCCUCUAUCUUUGAUAAAUUUUUGUAAAGCUUCUCAAUUUUCAGAAAUUUUUAUAGAGUAUUUUUUUAAUAUAAAUGAUCAUUUUACCUUGAACCCUUAUCAGAUCUCUAUCUUACACCCUUGUCAUAUGUUGCCUUCACUGUUGUGUCCCCUCCUUUUUGCUUUAGCUUUUACCCUUUGGUCUCUAUUGGACCCGUCACUUCUGCCUUUAUACAGUGAGUAAUGACGGUGACCUCGUUGGACCUUUUCUUGCGGGCGAGGAUGGCGAGGGUUGCCAUUGCCUUUGCGGAUCUCGUUGGACCCUCUCUUGUGUACGAGGGCUAUUGUUGUUGCAUCCUCUCCUUCCUCGUGUGAGGGCAACAAGGACUUCUCUCUUUCCUUACAUGAGGCUAUUGUCUUCGUAAGGAUAGUAUAAGACGGAAGCAAAUACAGAUCCGAUGGACAUAAGAGUAAAUUAAUUUUUUCACAUAACAAAGGGAUGUUUUGUGGGAUUUCUCAAAGGUGAAUUUUUUUUCAAGAAUUUAUCAUGUAUAUAUAUAUAAUUUAAAAUUUUAAGAAAUAUUAUUAAAAUUUGGAGAGGCAAAUCUGUUAUUUCUGAACGAUGAAAGGAUGGAUAUGUAGAAAAAAAAAAAAGCUAAAAAUGCCUUGUACCACAGAGAGGUCUAGGAGGACAAGGCUAACCACAUGCUGGACCCCACAGAGGUCUAGGAAGACAAGGCUGGUAGCUGAGCCGGGUUACGAGCGCUACGUACCAGCUGUUUCUAACCGCGUCACUUGCCACCGUGGGCAGGACGUGGUCCCGACCUGAAUAGUUACCGUGUAGCGCUCGGGUCCCAUGUGGGCUCGCUGCUUGUUCCAGUGACAAUGAAGGUAAACGAGCAAACGGUACCAAAAAUAUAUUUGCUCCACCGAAGCAAUAUUAUAUAUUCCUACUCGUUUGACCGUUACCCGGCGACUUACCUGCUUUACCAUUGAUGACGUACUACGCCACCUCGUGAUCUAGCGAGAUCGGUCCCCACUUAGUAAAGAGGCACUAUCUAUUAUUAUUAUUAUUAUUUGGGAUGAAAUAGCAUAGCCAAAUUGGACGAAUCGGAGUCGAUACGGAAUCGGACGCCAAAUCCCAUUCCAAACAAUAAUAUAAUUUAUAUUAAUAUUAAAAUCCAUAACUCGAAAUAAAACCCUCUCGCUCGUGAUUGAGCGGGGAUUUGAAUCCCGCCCACCGCUCGAAGUCUUCAACCCUAAUCCAAUCUCUGCCCCCGAUGAAUCCAAGGCCCUAGCCUCUUCCCCCUCCCUCGACCCCGUUCUCCGUCGUCUUCGAGGCCGGGUCCUGCUCGAUUCCCUUCCUCCGGGCUUGUAGUCGUGCCGAGCGAUGGACGCGGGCGGAGGGCCUUUUCGCACCGCCGAGGAUGUCUUCCGCGACUUCAGAGGUCGAAGAGCUGGCAUGAUCAAGGCGCUCACGACUGGUGUCUAAUCGCAAUAUUGUUUUUUUGCUUUCACUGAUUUGCUUGAGUCGUUGUUGUGGCUUCUCGAUUUUGACGUGUUAUCUUGCUUCUGGCGGUGAUGCAGAUGUCGAGAAGUUCUAUCAGCAGUGCGAUCCAGGUAAAAGGUUUUACCUCUUUCUUGGUGUUCCUCUCUUUGCUUAGGCGACGCCUGUGGGUAGUAUGUUCUUUUAGUUCCACAGUUUUCUCCUCGCGUUUAUUAGAUAUUUUGCUGAUGGAUUAUCAACGGAAUCUUAUUUUGGUUUUCUAUUUUGGUCUUUGGCUAUUGGGAGUGUGUCCUUGUCUUGCAAUGUGUCUCCUGUAAUCCGUGAAAGCUACUUCUCAUUCAAACCGUAGUUUCUUGUGAAAAAAUAUGUCCAGUAGUCAUGUACUAGUUAAAUCCUUCCGUUGUAUGAUGGAAAAUUCCAACUUUGACCAGAAAUUUAUUAUGUUUGGGAACGCUACAUUUAUGAAUCAGGUUAGGGUAGUGGUUGGGUGCUGGAAUUAGCUUGAGGUUUGCAGGAUUGCUUGGGUCUGAUUAUGAACCGAGUCUCUAAUUCUUGACCACCCUUCUCUUUGUUAUGCAUGCAGAAGCAUGUAAACUCAAUGCAAUCUCUCUCUGCCACUAUUUUUCUAGAUAGCUAGUUGGGUUAUUAUCUGUGACAACAUACAUGUGGCAAGCAAUGAGGACCAGGCAUGAUGUUUCCCUCUUCCUUCUUUUUUCCUUCAUUCCUUUUCACCUUCUCCUUCUCUUUUUUCUUUCUUUUCUCAUUUGUAAAUCUCGUAGUCAGAGGAUAAGAUCUCAUUACAUGUGAUUAAAUUUGCUUGUUGUCGUUUUGGGGGGUUGGGGUGGGUGAUUGAUAAAUUAACUAGAUCAAAGUUGGAGGCAGCUCAUGCAGAACACUGAAUAUAUGUGGUUUGGAUCCAUCAGAUUUGAAAAUUCUAGUGAUUCUUAAUGGUGAUGCUGAUUUUCUGUCAUUGUGACAGAGCACAAGAGAUGGAAAGACAUUGUAUAUUGUAUAUUGUUCCCUAAAGAAAGCUGAUGCAGCUUGAGAACUCUUUUGUGAACCAGGGGGAGGAAAUGUUUCAAAUUGUAGAUUGAUCUGCAUAUCUGAGGCUUCUGUGGGUCUUAAAGUGAAUAGGUGCAACUAAAUUUGUUUUACUGUGCAGCUGCUAAGAUCUAUCUUGUUUAGGUCAGAUUUGAUGCCGAAAAGCUUUGCAGCUUGUAACUGUAUUAUAGCAGUUCUUCAGGAUUUUGUUUUGUGGUACUAGAUUUCAGCAACUAACACAAGUAGUUGUUUGAGUAGUAAGAGAGAUAAAAAAGGGGUGGAGGUAGGAGGGAAGCCAAUGCUCGACUAGAGAUGAGGAACAGGAGAAAAUGAAGAUAGAUGCCCAUUAUCGAUAGAUACUAACCUUAGUAUUUUUUCCAUAUAAACUUAUUACUAAGGAGGCCAAUGCUUCCAUUUAUUACUUGCUUGCAUGUGACCUAAGUUAGCAAAAAAUGGAUAGAAUUCUUGUUCAAAUCUAAUUUUAUUAAAUACUAUCUAUUAAGAACCAUAUAUAUUCUUAGAUUAGUCCUACCUUCAUGGAUUUAAACAUCUAGUUACUUAGACACCUAACCAAAAUAAUACCAAAUUGAUCCAAAUCAUAUAAAACCAAUGAAGUCAUCGAGUGCUCACUUAGGUGCUUGGGCAAGACGAGGUGAGGGUCGAGUGCUUGGUAACUGGUCCAGGCAAGGCGCCUUCAAUUGAGCAUCGCCUUGGCACAUGUUUGUGCCCUAUCGUCGGGCGGUUGAGGUGCUCGCCUCAACCAAAUUCUGUUGAGUCGAAUCUGAACUAUGCCUAAUUGGUUGUGGUUUGUUGAUUUUGGUUCAAUCGAACCAUAUAGGCGUGAGCCCAAUUCCUUCCCUCGCUCCUCCCCCCUCGCACACAAGAAUCCUUAUUUCUCCCCCUAGAAAACCUAAUCGAUGGCGUUGUCUUCCUCUCUAAUGGCGAGAGGCUUCUGUGCGGAGGGAUAGUCGACUCCACUCUCUAUCGAAGUCUCUUUUCUUCUCAUGGUAACUCUUUCUUUCUCUCUCCCCCCCCUCCCAUUAUCGUUUCUUCUCUUGUGUCAUCAGCCCCUCCCUCUUCCUGUCAAGCCUCCCCGAAUCCCGACAACCCCCCUCUCCCUCCUCCUUUGCCUCCUCUCCAGAUAGCUCCCCACUCGUUGUCCUCACCGUCUCCUCCACCAUCACCUGUUCCCUCUCCCCGCCGAGCGAACCUGGACUCCAACAGCCCUCCUCUUCCUCGUCCGAUUGCUCCCCUCUUGUUGUCCUCGCCUUCUCCUCGGCCACAACAAUUCUAGAUAGAGUCAAGGUUAAUAUAGAGGGAGGGAUAUAUUUUUUUUUGAAAAAUGUACUGGGAAUUCUGUCAUGUUUUUUGAUGAUUUGUUAGGGUUCUGGUAGUUCCGGUUUUGUUUUGGCCAAUACAAGUCAUUCAAAUGCUAAAAACAUACAUGGGGCUGAUAUUCAAAAUUUGGGAAAUUUUAAGCUUAUAUCAGGCAAAUUGACCAUAUGGAAAUAUCAGGAGCUAGUUGGGAUCCCAUUUUGGAGCACUUUAAUUUGUGAUUCGGACUCAGUUUUUAUCAAUCCUCUCUAUUGGAGUGAGCUUUGGGUAGCAUCUCAGACAUUAUUCUCAAGGUACAUAGAAUAAAAAGAUCUAGCCAAAAAGAUCAAAAGAAAGACCCACAUCCGGAAGAUGUAAUUUUGAAAUUGUCAUUAAUGAUCCACUCUUCAAGAAGCUGAGAUAUGUUUUAUGAGGUUGAUGCUUGAUUGAUUAGCUCAACAUGAAGCCUGAUUUUAUCUUAUAGUCAAACAGCAACCUCUCAUGAUAAAUCCUCAUCUUCUUAUGACUUAAAUUCCUUAUUCAAUUUUGGGCAGUUUUAUCAUAGCUUCAAAAAUGACCGGAGGUCUCCUAGCUAUCCCAUGCAGUCUGGGGGCAUUAUAAUUAUUGUUGGCUGCCUGAGCCUGUGCCUUUUCCAUUGUGGCUGAUAGGCUUGACCAAGUCAUAUGGGUCAGGUUGACUCUUGGGAAGAUUGCAAUCUUUGACAUGUUUGAAUCCCCUCUACAUUAGAUGAUCAUUGCACCAUUAUGUAUCUUGAUAUAAAUAAUUCUUGAAGUUCGGUUGUUGGAAUUCUAUUCAUAGUCCAGAGCUAAGUUAAAGUUGAACCAAAAUUUGUGACCUUUGGAAGAUCUCAUGGACGAGUUUAGUACAGCGACAUGUUGAUGAAAUGACCAGCACUGUUCCAGAUUUAGUGUCCUGGUUAUGGCCAAUCAUGUCUUGGCCAUUUAAUUUUUGUUAUUUUAAUAUUUUUUUUGAUUACUUUUAUGGCUAUCAUAAAGGUUAGUGGGGACGUAUAGAAAAUUCUAGUUCAGAUAAGUGUCCUCAAAACAGUUUCUAGUUCCAGAGGCUCUAGGCAUUCUUGAUUAGGAGUAUAUGUGGUUGAAUUAAAUACAAAAGUGGAAGUCAUUGGAUGUUGUAGCAUCAUCUACAAUGGGUUUGUCUAACAGAAAUUAAGAUGAUGGUAUUUUUGGUUUCUGAUUUCAAUUUUUUAACUUGUUUUCCCCUUUUAUUCUAAUUCCUUUUCGUUUUGAACCCUCACAAUUAACACGAUUUUUCCACAAUUACAUGGUUGACUCACAAGUUUAACCAAACAUGAUAUGAUUGACAUGCAAACCAAAUGCAUGCAUUUAAGAUUUUCUGAUCCAAUAAUUAAUUUGGUCAAUCUAUGUUAGUGGUGUCUAGAUACCAAACUUUUUUAUGUUGCAAACCAUAAGCUUAGUCAGAAACUGGGUUUGUGACAGGUGGAUUCUGUCCCAAGCUGUUAAUUAUGUUGCAAACCAUAAUGUCAGUCAUGGGUUCUUUGUUAACUAUGGGAUCCUGUUAUGGGUUGGAUUGGAUGAGUGUCCAGUCUCUCAUAGGCCUUGAAAAGAGAAUGUAAUUAGUUUUUCUAAGAUUCUUUCCAAGGAAAAUGCAAAGUUGUUGGAAAAUGGGUUUCCCAACAACUUUGGGCAUAACUUUGUAAGUGUGACCUUGUUUCUAUUUUUGUAUGUUAUUUUCAUAACAUUUAAGUUCACUACUCUGAGUUUUUUUAACAAAAUACAAAAAUAUGCUGUUAUAGCGUGCAUAGCAACUAUAAUUUACCAUCACCUGAUUGUGGCUCUCUCAAGGAUAUUUUUUUGGUGUCAAUUCCAAAAAAGGGAAACACCUUCUUUAUAAUUGAUAUCAUCUUUGUCAAAACUUGUCAUUACUGCUUCUAUAAAUAUUACAUGAUCUUAAUGGGGCUUCAUGAAUGAUCAUGAUGACUUUAGGUCCUUAGCAAAAUUGAAGUAAAAGGUGUAAGUUUGAGUAAAAUCCAUGUUACCUAAGGCUAAUAAUUUAUCCUUAAUAGACUUUUUUUUAGUUUUGAUAAACUUGACGAUCCUAACAAUCAUAUGUCUAUCUCUAAAUUACCAAAUGUAACCUUGGUUUCCUUUACAUGUGUAGUCCUGUAGUAUUUGAGAUGUGUUUUCUACAACUAUGGGCCAUGUUGUAUGGUAUAUCAAUAUCAACUUUCAGCACAGAUCUGUAGAAGAGCUUUGUGAUGGGGUCAUGCAGGGUGCUAUAUUCUUUGAUCCCCUUUUGUAUGUUAAUCAAGUGUUAAAUGUGACUGCUGAUAAUUGUUGUUUUUCCCUUUUUUUUGGCAGAGAAAGAGAACUUAUGUCUCUAUGGGCUUCCUACAGAGACUUGGGAAGUAACCUUGCCUGCAGAGGAAGUACCUCCAGAACUUCCUGAGCCAGCCUUGGGAAUUAACUUUGCUAGAGAUGGCAUGGAAGAAAAGGACUGGCUUGCUUUAGUUGCCGUCCACAGUGAUGCAUGGUUACUUUCUGUUGCCUUCUAUUUUGGGGCACGUUUUGGAUUUGAUAAGGAGUCAAGGUAAUGUUAUCUGAGUGGAGCUGUGGUAAAUCACCUAAACACUGAUGCAAUUAUCUUUUUUUUGUUAUUAUGUUCUUGUUUGCAAGUUCUGAACAUUAUCAGUCUGUUAGGCUUAAUUAUGAGAUACUGCAUGUUUAAUUGCAUAUUAGUUCUUGGUUAAAUUUUCAUUCUUUUAUGGCAAUUGGCAAGCUAUAGGCAGUAACAUGCAGCUGUCAUGUGUUUUGUAUACAACUGGGAGGACUUGCUGCUGAUGAAACAUCAUGGAUGAGGAUUAUUGAAAACAGAAGCGCAUUGUUGUUUUCCCCUAACAUCUUCAAGUAAGCUGAAGUUUCUUAGUUAUGUUUGUUUUGGGGAUAUGGAAAGUGAAGAUUGUGGGUAUUGGUUUAACUGGCAACUGCUCGUCUUAGUAAUCCAGUCAAAGGAGUUUAAUUUGGAUGAUGUGGGAUAAUACAACCCAGUAAAUUGUGGCUUAAAAGAGUCACAUUUUUUUGUUAAUCCAGCUAAUAUGCCAUUUAGGUCACCAAACCAGAAACAGGGUUAAUGUUAGAAAGCUGGGCUAGAAUAAUACAAGCUAGUUACUUCAAUGUCAAUACAAAUGCAUCCUUAAAGACUAUGGGAACCAUUAAGUGAGGCCCUUGAAAACUAUUGUUUAUAGUUAUGUUCAUGUUUUGCUUGAAUUUGUAUGACAUCCAGGAUUUUUUUCCUGUGGUUAAUGUUCUUUCUCUUCCUUAAUAUUCUUAUAAUAAUUGUUUACUGUUCACAAUAUCACUAUAACUCAUUAGAAACUGCAUUUGUUUCAUAUUAUUAAAUGUAAUAAAAUUUUCUUUACAAUUUGGCCAAAAACAGUCAUAUGUUGUAUAUGUUCCAAGAAUCUACCCUGUAGUUUGUCUUAUUCUGAUUUAUAAACUUUGCAACUAAUAUUUUUAUCUUCUAAAUGCUAGUUAACCAUCUCGUAUAUCAUGAGUUUGUUGCUCAUGGUGAUGGUUAUGCUAAUUAGUCUAAAUCUAUUAUAUGUGGCAAACUUAUAAGGUUGGUUGGUUCAUUGUGUAGUUUCAUUUUGUGCAAUUUUGUGUAGUGUGAUCUUAGGUAUUAGCUAAAUCCCUCCAAAAGCUUCUUUUUGGACCAUUGAGAUAGAGACAGGGUUCUCAAUUUCGAUGUGUACUGCUUGGUAUGGGUGGUACGUAUUGGUCCAAGAGGAUAUCGAUACGCGGACCACCCUCUACCGGGCGGCACUAGCGUUUUGACCCUGUAUCGAGUGAUACGAGGUUUGUACCCGACGGUAAUGGUCGAAAUCCGAUCGAUACCGAGGUGUACCAGUUGAUAUGUCUCGGAUUUCGACCAUUAUCAAGGUGUAUUGGUUAGUACGUUGCGAAUUUUGAUCGUUAUCGAGGCAUAUCGAUCGGUACAUCUCGGUAUUGUUGGACUGUUACCUCCAAGUAUUUUUGGAGGUUUUUCAGCUCUUUUUGGGCAUAUCGCUGGUACACCUCAGCAUACCAUCGGUAUGCCUCGAUGCGUACCACCGUACCGAGCAGGGUUUGGUACAUCGGUACGGACCGAAAUUAAGAACCUUGGAUAGAGAGAUUGAUGACUAAUUUGCUUUAGCGUUGUGCUUUAUUCGAUGAGAAGCCAUCCAUCCAUGUCUUCAUUCCCACAUUAGUGAACUUAUCAGUCUCUUAAGACUGACAAGGAGAUUUAUUAGUUUGCAUAUCCCUGUAGCAUGAAAUAGACCCUUGAAGUACUAACAAUUUUGAUACUACUAGUUAAUAUUAUCCAAUUUUUAACUUUUCUUCUCAAAUUCAAUAAAUGCUGGCAAGGAGGAAUAAUACUUUGAAAAAGAAAGAUCCACAUACAGAGGUCAGUUCUUCUGUUAUUUAUUUUCUUUAUGUUGACUUAAGUGCUUAUAAGUCACUAUUGACUUGCUGCAAAACUUGCCUCAAGUGGCUGUUAUUGAUAGUCAUGAUGAGAGCUUUAUUUUUAUUUCCUUUAUUUUGUUAUGUAGUGAAGGCAUGUACAUGCAAUAAUUUCCAAAUCUUGAUCAGAUAUGCUAUCUUUACCUGACCUCUUUUGCAAACAAUAAGUGCUGUAAGAAUAAACUCGAUUUUGGCAAAGAGCUUUAAUGGCUAAUACUUGCUUUCUGUGAAUGGAGUUAUUACUGUCUUCUUGAAGCUAACAGUUUCUAUCAAGUAUUUUAAAUUUAGAAUACUCGUAUAGUCAUUGGAAUCAACAAUGUGCAUAUAUAUACAUAUGUAUGUAUGUAUGCAUAUGUAUACAUACAUAUUGCUAUGGUGAUACCUAAGCAGAUGCUUCUGUUAGGUACUAAGCUUUCUUUUUUUUUUGUUGUCACUUGUUUUUGGAGUUGUUACUGUUAAUUGCUAUGGUGUUAAAGUUUUGAAUGUCUUUAUUUUUCUUGUAUUUCUGGAUUUUAGAAGUUUCCCUGAUUAGGAAAUUCAUAUCAGUUAUCCUUGAUGUUGUGACUAUUACAGGAGGCGACUUUUCAAUAUGAUUAACAAUCUCCCUACCAUAUAUGAAGUUGUAACUGGAACAACCACGAAACAGUCCAAGGAAAAGACCUCGAAUAGCAACAGCAAGAACAAGUCGAACUCCAAGACGGUAAGUUCUCAUGUUAUAUCCUUCCAUUGCUUUUUAAUUUAUCCAUUUAUUCUUAAUUGUUACUUUCCUACGUGGGUUCAGCAGUCCAGACCGGCCGAGCCCCAGGCCAAGGUUUCAAAGAUGCCUCCAAAAGAAGAUGAGGAUAGUGGUGCAGAGGACGAAGAAGAUGAAGAGGACCACGAGAACACUUUAUGCGGUGCAUGCGGUGACAAUUAUGCUAACGACGAGUUCUGGAUAUGCUGUGACGUAUGUGAAAAGUGGUUUCAUGGAAAGUGCGUCAAGAUCACACCUGCCCGAGCCGAGCACAUAAAGCAGUACAAGUGUCCCAGUUGCAGCACCAGUAAGAGGGCCAGAGUAUGAAGCAAGAAGUGUUACUAGUUCUUCAUUACGCCAGAACAGUUCCUUGCAAACAGCAGACAUGCAAGUAGGUUGUAGACUUUGUUUCUGUGUCCUUGUUCAGAUUGUAGUUAAUUGGUGCUGUCUGUGUCCAUUUGCACGAGGGCUUGUUGUGUGUUAGAUCAACCUCCAUUUGCAACAUGUAACUUGGUCACGUAAGGUAGGGACUCUCGGAUUUGACCAAGUGUUGUUUUAGAAGGAAAACUAUAUUAGGAUGUGUUUGUUUUAGUGAGGCUUUCACGACUGAUGAUUUCUUCUGAUUUCUGACACCAGAUGGGUUGGCGGAUCAUUUUUUUGCCGCCUUGGUUGCGAUUGAUUGAUCAUACGCAAUCGUGUUGGUGGUUGCAAGGUGAAAAAUUAGAUGAAAAAGGAUCUCGUGAGAGUUAGAUUUUUUUUUUUAAAAAACUGAAAGAAGUGUGAGAGUUCCAUUUGUUUUUUUAAAUUGAAAGAAGAUUUAUUUUUUUAAAUUGAAAGAAGUGUGUGACUUUUACACGUAAACUCGAACAUAAUAUCCUAUUCACACAUACCUAUCACUUGUGUUAUAAUAUAUUAAUUAGUUUCUAUUUGUCUUAGUUAGUGAUUAAUUUGGAAUCUUUUAUUUUCACGAGGUUAUUCUUGAACUGGGUCAGUAUGGGUUAGAUUAUCUUUAGACUAAAAAAUUUAUAUUAAAAGAUGAAAUAUUUAAUUUUAUUUACCUUAAUAUCGUUGGUUUUAUUAACCAAAAAUAAAGCAUAUAACAGUAUGUGCAUGAUGGCACGAAAACGAUAAUAAAAAAGAUAAUAUCAAAUGUUGUGGUGGAUGGUGGCAUCGUGAGUGGUUGUUGUGGUAAUAGUCGACGAUAACAACGUGAUAGUUGGUUUUGUUGAUGUCAUGACGAGGAGGAGGAGGCAGAGCGACGAGGCAUCUACAUUGAUGUCGGAGGAGAAAGAGGAGAGAGGUGAGACAUUUGCGUUGACGUCGCAUCGCUGUACCUCCUCUUCCUCCUUUGGCAUCGCUCUACAUCUGCGUCGAUGACGGAAGAGGAAGAGAAGGCAAGAGAGGCAUUUGUGUUGCUCACAACGAGGAGGGAGGAUGACGAGGAGGCUAGUGAGGCAGAACAAUACAAUGUCGAAGGAGGAAGAGGUGGCAAGUGAGGCAUUUGCGUCAGUGUCAUGCUCAAAUCCUCGGAUAGGAGCUUUAUCCAGUAGCCCGACGGAUUCGAGGAAGGGGCGAUGGGCGAUAAGGAGGGAGAGGUUGCGAGAGAACUUGACGAAGAGGCACACUUGUUUCGAGCUCUUAAGCUUUAGCCGGUGUGAACGAUGCGUAUGCCCCAACCACAACGACAUGGUCGCAACUUGCUUUUGGAUCAUCUUCACCUGCGACCGGAGGAGAUCUAAUCAAACGACGAGGAUUGAUCGUCCCACAAAAUGGAGGCUCGAAUAGUACAAAUCUGAUAGUGGAAGAGACAACAAACCCUCAUCCUCCUUCCCACUCACCUACGGCGCUGUGGUAGUGGGGGAGAGUAUCAGAAAGAUGCGCUACAAAUACGACAAGCGAGACGACGAAGAAACGACGCAUUACGGUUAGCCUUCGGAUUAGGAAUCACCAUUUUGGCUAGGGUUUCAAGAUCGAUUGGUCAUAUCUGCUCAGUCUCACUUGCCUCAUCUUCCUCCUCUAGCACUAACGUAAAUGUAGAGCGGCUCCGGAGGAGGAAGAGGAGGCAGAGCAAUGCAACGCUAACACAAACGCCUCACCUCCCCCCUCUUCCUCCUAUGGCGUCGACGCAAACGUCUCACUGCUCUGUCUCAUAUUCCUUCUCGUCAUCAAUGUUCAGAUUGAUAUCGACAAGACCGAUCAUUGCAUCAUUGUCACCGGCUACCAUCAUAAUAAUCGCCCACGAUAUCAUCAUUCGUCAUUACCAUUAAAAUUAUCUUUUUAUCUAUCAUUUUUAUGUUAUUUAUGCAUGUACUAUAUCUUUCGCCAGUAAAACCGACGAUAUUAAGAUAAAUAAGAUUAAAUAUUUCACUUCAUCACUAUAAAAUUUUUAAUAUAAAAUUUUUAAAUAUAAAAAAUCAAGAUAAUAAAAAGAUCUAACUACAAUAUUAUAGAUAAUAUGUAAUUAACCCCAUUAAAUGUCUACAUCUGUGCUGACAGCUGUUUAGUUUGUGCAGGCAUAAGCUGAAAUGAACCGAUUCUAAACAGACGAUACAGGAUAUGCGUCUCCCUAAAACUAUGCAUGUUAAUGCCAAAAUAACUCCAUGACAGAUAACUCUGCUUGGAAGAUUUUGACAUUUGUUUACACAUCGUCAAGACACAGGAAUAACAAAAUCAAAUAUAUAGGAGGAGAAUAAAGAUUCAUGCAGCUAAAAAUGACCAACCAUAUUUCGACCAAAUAUAAUACAAACGGAUCUACAAAAUUAUCUUCCUACAAAAAACAUUUUAUGUUGUUGUAAAACCUUCAAUUGAACCCAUCGCUUAGCCUCGGAACCGUUUUUCCAUCAUCUUGAACCUCAAACCUACUAUGUUACAACAAAAUAUUCCUGAAUAAUGAUACAAAGAAAUUUACAACAUUAAGAUGAGAAAAAAGGUACAUCAACCGGCAAAGAAAAAGGCCCACAAAUCUGCAAAGAAAAGACUACCCAUCUAUAUCGCAUAGAAGAAUGAGAAGCUUGCGACUUCAGAAGAUCAAAAUUGCUUCAGAUAUAGUCGGGCUUUAUAACUUGCAAAAAGCAGCAUAUCAAAGAGCCAGUGAAACAUAAAGUCCCAUCACCAUAAUGAGCCAUCUCAUGAAGUGUUAACUGCAAUUGCAUACCCUGCAAUAGAUGGAAGAAUUGUAUACCCUGCAAUUGCAUGAAGUGUUAACUGCUUGAACGUGGCAAUCCACCGUCUUCUCAUGAUGUGAUAUGAAGCAAUAAUUCGACCAUCAAGUUCUCAGUGCACAAUCUUAACUAUGAACAGUCCGUGAAGUGACGCGUCUGCCGAAGUUCUGAGAUCAAUGCAAUCUUAACUAUGAACAGCACUAAAUAGCCUAGCUCUGCCAGGGUUCAGCAAUGACUCCGACAUUAUCCAUCCCUGCAAAAAGUAACAAAAACCUAUGCUCACGCUCGGUUCUCAAUAAAGUUUGUUCAGAUGAAUGCAGAAACGUUAUGAAUUAUGAAAGGCAUGAAUGCUGGUCAGUUCAUUGCCAUACAUUUAUUUCCUACAUAACAAAUGCAGAAACAUGUUAACAGGGAUAUCAGAGUUUUCAUCCUCAUGGCUUUGUACAUCUUCAUAAAAUUGUCACUUAUGGACAUCUCUGAUGCAUUAGUCAUAUAGCAUACCAACACUGAAGUGCAACAAUAAAGCUACAUGCCUAAUUCAAAAUGUUUGGGAUUGGCCAUAAUAUCUUUUGUGGUCUCUCAGCUCCGAAUAAAUGUUGCAUUUUACGGCAACCACCCACACUCAUACACCAGAAAUUAGGAUAAGAGACACUGGACUUGCGGAGUCCUUUUGAAUAUGCAGUGAAAUAUCAGAGGAAUUUGUCAUCACCCCUGCAUAACAUGUAUUCCAUAUUCCCAUUGGAAAAAAAACAAUUAAGAGAAUGAAUAUACCAUAACAGAGGUAUAUAUAAAAAUCGAUUGAAGUGAACACCAUCAAUAUCCUGAUAAUGACUAUGGGUAAUUCUGAUGUCCUUUCAAAAUAUUCAAAAUUGCUUAGUUUCUUUUUCUUUGAUCUGACAAUGGACUAUCGUAAGUACUUUGAUAUUGUGAUUACACAAUUCAUCUUUUAAAGUGAAGACCAAGGUUCUACAAGCCAGUUGUAUAUAGGUCGGUGUUUACUAGUCUAAUGGUCAACCAACAAGACGAUUGCAGAUGAUGCAGCCCAAUAUUGUUGUACUGUCUAGCAAAACCAAUGCAGAUGGUUCCAGCUUAUGCAGUUGAAUAAUGUUGUACUCUCCUUCUCUCUCCCCUCCUCUGCCACUCCAGCCUCCACCUCCUUUGCCUCCAUGUCACCUUUGACUUCUCGCUUCUGUCUUGACUGCAGUGCCAAGGGCAUUGUCUUUCUCACUCAUGUCUUACUCAACUAGCAAUGCCUACAGUUGAGUUCCGCUUGAGCUCAGCAUCCUCCACUCUCCGCCACCUCUUGUCCCCUCCUAAUGUCAUCUCCACUGACAGGAUUGUGGGUUUUGGCAUUGGUCAAUUCUGUAGCAGCAUCCUCGCCUCCUUUGUCACCCGCCCAAGCGACAAUAUAUUCUCCAACAACAUCUUCUCUCUCUUGCCUCUCUGCUUGGUUCCAACCAGCAAUAUCCUGUGUCAGCACUCGGUGUACUACUGUAUGGUACUAGUAUAUAUGAAUCCAAUUGACAACAGGUAUCCGUACUAGACUGAGAUUUAAUCCUUGUCUAAGAUAAUCUAAAGUGAGGACCCAAUCACUGUACAUAAAUAUUAUCCAAUCUUACAGAAUUAAAUUAUGAUUAUAAAUUGCUACUAUGUCCAGCUAGGUUUAGAUUGAAUAUAAUCAAAUGCGUGUUUAAGCAGAAAGGUCAUAGCAGUGUCUAGAGUAGAACAUCCCGAAAAAAUGAGUGCACCUAAGCUACCAUGAAGUAGCAAGUCUUCCAUGCAUCACCUGUUCCGCUGCUUUCCUCUUGAAUAUCGCAUAUGAUGAUGAAACAAUCUUGCAAGACUCCACCAUAUGAGCAAGGAAGUUGGCAUUUGUAGGAAGUAUGGCCUCUUCAUAUUUUGAUUGGUUAGAAUUCCUCAGCUUUUUCAAAGCUUGAUUUGUGUUUGACAAUUGGAUGAAAUAAAGAAGAACAUGAGCCUGUCAUGAAGACACAAUAUUAAACAAGCAGGUGUUUCUGGCUAAUCCACCAUCAAUAGCCCAUACUCACAUGAAAAGCUGCUUUCAAUAUAUCAUCUGAUUUUGCUUGAUCCUUCAGUAAUGCAUAUAUUUUGUCCUUUGAAGGGUUGUAGGACACCAUGUAUCUUUCCUUCUGUAGUUACACAGUGUAUAAAGAAAAGAACAAAUAAUGCAACUUGGCUGAAAAAAAAUGUGGGAAAGAAAAUUCAUGACACUAGUGUUGAUUUCAAAAACUUGAUAAAAUAUGUAGCAAACUGAAGCAUGCAUGUAGAACAAUCAUAAACAUUUACAUGAAGUACAUUGCAACAAACAAAUACCAAGAGCAAAAGGUAAAAAUACUACCUCAAACAAGUGCUCUAUGGCAAUAAAUGAAGUUGGCUCCUGGAAUGCAUCACAAAAUCUUGGGCCUAAAAUGCCAGCAUGCAGAAGUAAAUAUAAAAGUUUAGACUUCUGAAAGAUGGAUAGAAGUCAAACAACCCAGUGGUUGCAUACCUAGAACAACUGAUGUAUGUUUCGACCAUGGAGGACGAAAAAUAUUUUCCUUAGAAUUUCCUUCCUUAAGUGAUGGAACAUGCCCUAGAAAAUUGCAAGAAUCGAACAUUAAGUUGAGGUUAAAAAAUUAUAAUUUUAGAACCAAAUCACUAGCAAGGCUUUUAUCAUAUAGCAAAAUAUUAGUUAAGCUUGUAGACUGACAAAUGAAGACUAUGAGAGGGUACUCAGCUUGAUUUAUUUAGUACAAACAUAUGUUUAGAAAAGCAGUUCAAACUGAUACAGAAUUGUAACAAAGAACAUAACAAAUAAGUAUUUCUGAUUAUUAUGAAUGACAUGGUUAGCCUAAUGUCUAAUUAUUGUUUGGCAACAUUCUAUUGUGCAGUGAAAUGUGGCCGCAUGCUUAACCACAUAAAUAAAUGCAGUUAGGUUACAACCUCACAUAAUAUAUGAAGCCACACUAUUCGAGAUAGCUCUACAUGUUUAACAUGACAUAAAAUGUGAUUAAAUAUGCAGUCCACAUAAGCAGAAUGUGUGGCGACACAAUGAGGGUUAUGGUUCAUUUUUUCUAAUUACUAUUAUUCUUUGUAUUCCUAUCAUCAUUGUCAUUAAUAUUAAUCUAAUAUUUAUUACCAACAACAUAUAUAAAGCUGAUCAUAUUGAUCCUCUCUUGACCCUGCAUUGAUAGGAGCUCCAUCUGUUCGGACUGCUCCUACUAUUAUGUUCAUUAUGUGCUUGUAUAUAUGUGUCACCCUUUCUUCCUCCUAGUUUCCAUUCUUGUUCUUACUUUCUCUUUUACUGGCCAAACUUCAAAAUUUGUAAACCACGCCAAACUACCACAUCACAUGUUAAAUCCUUUAUAAUGGUGACAGAAAUUCAAUUAUAUUUUAGAAGACUUGUUUGACCUACCAGUCUUGAUGAAGGAAUCCACUGCAACAGUGAAUCUUGCUCUGUUUAAUGUAUUUAAUACAAUGGAUUUCACCUGUUAAGAUGGAUAAAAGAUUACAUUAAGCAUGUGUCAGAGAUAACUCUUAGUUAGAAAAGCAACAUAUGUAAACAGUAAAGGCUAACCGAUACUGACCUCUUGAUAUGCACUAAAAACAUAUCCACAUGACAAGAAUGCAAAUGAGGCCACCAAAGAUGGGUUCCUUUUUGAAAUCAAGAUGCAGAGUCCAGUUCCCAACUGAAAAUAAUGCGAAAUAUAUAUGGUCAUAGUAGUUUAUAAUGCAUUUUUAUCACAAUGCUUAAUAAAACAUCAAAAACGGUGUAUAAACCAAAUGAAGUAUUAUGUGCAAUCUUAAGAAAACACUAUUCCUCUGAAAAAGAUCUACAUGCCUCUCUCUCUCAUUUGUAGAAAUCAAUUCCCGUUAUUGAUAGUAACAUAGGUUGAAGAGUCCGCAAGCAAAGGAUAGUUUGACAUUUUAAUUAUCCAAAAUAUCUAGCUUUUAAGAUUGAGUUAAAUGUCUUAUAGCAGCAAAGUUAGAAACUGGAGAUGCACUUAUAACAUGCAAGAAUUAGCGAAAUUCACAACAUUGAACAGUAAAAUAUUAAAAAAGGUCCAGCUGAGAUGCUUGGCACCUAUGUUUUAAAUACCAGACAGACCGGGUCUGGUCCAAAACCAAUAUGUGGACUAUCAACUACCAUCCGUUCUGGUUCAGGGACCUUAUAUUAGGGUACUAAUCAAUCUCUGGUUUGGCACACAGAUAUACCACAACCCCAGUGAGAUUCAAAGUAGGGUAAGCUUGUCAAGAGACACAAAACUUCAUUAGGAGAAUCCUGAACAAACAAAUUGAACAAGGUGCUGGAAAUAAAAUAAAAUUUAAGGAUCAUCACAGCAACCCCUAAUUAGAUUCUGGAAAUGAAUGUUAAAGUGAUUCCCAACUAUCCAUGUUUACCAGCACUAUGUAAUCUCCAUGCCUUAAGUAUCUCAAUAUCGUUGAUAAACUAAACCAUUAUAGAAUGUCUGUGACCUUGUCUGUGAUCUGUCCACCUUAUUCUUGAGGCAAGAUACUUGUCCACUUGUCACAGUUUUAUUUUCAGGGUUUCAUAUAUUUGAGAGAAGUUGCUUCUGCACAAGGCUUUUAUAAUUCAAGCCAGGUAAUGUCUUUCCCACCUCAUUAGUUUCCUUUUUAAUAGGUGAAUUGAUAAACCACUCGGAUGGUAGCAAGGUCAAAAAAGCCUUGUAAUUGAGGGAAUUCUUAGAAGUGCCACCAGGCCAUGGAUUUCAUUGGUGAUUCAUGUCGAUUUUGGCUAGCUGGUAACUAGAAUAUCAUCUUGGUGUCAGCAUGUUGUUUUAUGCCAUCUUGAAAGUGUGCCAGUACUGUGUUUGCAUAUGAGAGAAAAUCCAAUGCCAGAUGACAUAAAUUCCAUGCUGAUCCACAUCAGUGAGACAGUAUAAUUAGUAUCACCAUUUUGAAGAAUCUGUACCUUUUUAAAGUAUCUGUAAUAGUUAGAUAUCUCCUUUUCUCACAAAAUGAAAAAGUAGAUACUUUUAAGGAUCUUUCUGGUACUUAUCAGAAAUUUAUGAUAUUUUUUCUUUAUAAUUGUCUACCUGAAAAUGAUAAAAAGAUUUACUUGUAUUAAAGCAUUGUUAUCAUUGAGAGGAUCAUUCGAGAAUGGUUGAUAGACAUAGGUUUCACUAUUUUUCUUGCUUUGCGACCUUCAUUCUUUAUAAAGUGAGACCUUUUUCAUUAACUAAAUUAUGUAAGCUGGCAUGCUUACUUGUCAUCUGUUGUCAUUAUGUUGAAGCUGCAGAUAUCUUUAAUAAUUAAUAAACAUAAAAAUAUAAAGCUUGUCAAAUAUCAGGAUAUGCCUAUCAUGUAGUCUCUCAGCAAAUACCAAAUGAGUUUUGAUUUAAAUAGUCACCAUUGUUUCUUCCCUAAUUCUGCAAUUUAGAUUGAGAAUAUAACAAUUUUAUUUCUAAUAUUUAUGAAGCUAAAAUGUUUCUUAGGUAACUACAUUGUUUUUCACCUUCUCUCUCCCUACUAAAUGACAAUUUUGCUAACAGCUUGAAAGAUUCAGUUGAGUCUUGAGAAAAUGCUUUCUAUAACUUAAAAAGUGAAAGACAAGUAAGACGAUACUAGAAAUGAUAGCUGCAUUUAUUCAUAUAGAAUUGCUUGUGCCAGGUAAGUGAGCAUAUCCUCGAAUAACAUACCAGAUCAGCCAUAUUACCAACAGAUUCUCCUUUAGCAGUUACAUCUCCAAUAUUUUCACCUUUGGCAUAGGCCUUGUAGAUUGGAGUGCGUGUCGAUGUUGAUGUCACAGCAGCAACAUUCUGUAAAGGACAAAAAUUGGAGACAUCAUAUGUCAUGAACAUCCCCAGGUAGAAGCCAGAAACUGAGGACAUGAAUUUGUUUCUUCAACCUUCACCACGUUAGCUGCACAAGCCAAUGGCAAGAAAAGGUGUGGAACAGCAGCAGUUGCUAAUUCUACCCCAGCACCUAACUCCAUUAAAAGAUCACCCGCAAAGCGAAGCUGCGGCAAAUAUCAAUCAUCAAUCACUGGUAUCUGUAUCUGUCAAUCACUGGCAAAUAUCUGUAUCUCCAUUAAAAUUAAAUUACAAGAGCACAAGAGCUUACCUGCUUUAGAUCAUAGUCAAACUUCUUUCCUUGUCAUGCAAAGAGCAUUUUGCCAAUGCGUCCAGCACCAUCCUGAAUAAUACUGAAUGUGGUUAAAAAUUUAAAACAGUCUAAAUGAAAAUCAAUUAAAAAAAUAGAACUGACAGAAAUUACAGGAUAAUAAGAGUAAGAAACAUGCCUAUGAUCUUCUCUAGAGAAGAGGGGGGAGAGAGAGAGAGAUUCAUGCCACUAAUCAAGCAAUGAAGAGUAUGGUUUUUUGCUUCGUAAGUAUCUAAAUAUAAGUGCAAUGGUUAUGGUUUAAAAUUCAUAAGUAUUCUAUCAAAUGGAACAGCUACAUGCAUGUGAAAGGAUCAGCUACCAGUAACAUCAACUGAAGUAACUUUAUUAUAGCUUGAUUGCGAUGACAGCUAUCUAAAAAGUAGUUGCUUUCACCAGGUUGACUAUAAGAUCAGGAAACUCUAAAAAAAAUUAAGUCAAGAUCACAACAUGUCAAUAGGUAAAGCCAGUGAAUUCCAGAACGGGAAAGCCAGAUGUGGGAGGAAAACAUCUACGAGUUGAUUAGUCCCAAAAAGUAAAGGUCAAGCUUCAGUAUUUGAGCAACAGAUGUCAUUAGAAUUGGAUCUUACCUCAACAGUUAUUUAAAAGAAAAUUCAUAAUAAGAAGUUGUUUAAUGAACAAUUACUUUUAACAAAUAUCUUCUGCAGAGAAGAUGAGUUAAUUCAUAUGUUUAUGCAGUGAAAGAUCAAAUGAUAAAACUAAAAGAAUUUCACGUACAUACAUAAAAAUCAGAAGUAAUGGAAAAAGCACCAUGGAUCAGUUGCUACGAAACUGCUCAUAGGAAAUGAAAUGUUCAUUGAUAUCAAUAUAAACCUGUUAGCAAAAAUCUAUUUACACAGCCUGGGAAACAACUAACAUGGUGUGCGCUUUACCAAAUUCAAAAUGGAUGCAACAAAUAAGCCUGCAAAAUUGCAUUGUACAUGGUGGUCUACACCUGAUCAAAUAGAUCUGGCAAGGGCCAAUAGAAGCUAUUAUUUUUUAGGACCGUUGAGACAAAAAACGUAAUAAAUGGGUGCAAGGCACUUUCAUUAGGAAAAUACGCAUAACCUAUAUUAUAUCCAUAUCAUUGCAUUUAAAGUGGAUAAUGACCAUAAGCUAUACAUGCAGCAUUAACCAUUUUCACUUGCACAAUUGAGGUAAAGUGGAUAUCUAAAAUACUGUCGCUGAAAUCCAAACUUCUGUGUUAAAAACACAUAAUGUUAGCUAUUAUUGUUAUGCCAGAAGACGCAGAUUUUUUUACCUUGAGUAUCCAAUUAAUGGCAACGGCACCUGAUAUUGCUCUAUUUUUGGAUACUCCAACGGAGCUCAAUAGUGUCCGUGUCGUGAAAACACCCAUGGCUCCACCAAAGAAAUACUAAUAAAUAAUGUCAAUCAUUAGUAACAAGGGGCUCAAGAAAAAUAAAAAAAGAUUCAAAAUGAAUCCUUCUAAAUAAUUUUGAGACACGUAUAGAAAAAAAUAUUCAUUUCAGAAUGUUUCAGACAAAAAAGGUACCUUCAGAGCUCUCCAAGUCAUGUAUGGAACAUAUGAAGGGGUAACACUAUCGGGAAAGCCUUCAGGCACUACAUAAGAUCUUACAAAUGACAUCAAUUCCUGCACCAAAAUGUAAACUCAUGAUGCAGGGAUGACCAAGAACUUUGUCUUUGCUUAAAUUUCUACAAGAAAAUAUAAACAAGCAUUCAUUUUCCUGAUAGGUGCGACAGAUAUCCUAUGCAAACACUGCACAACCCAGAGUUUUCCCAUGAAUUAAUGGAUAAUAUUACAUGCAAUAUCACAUUACAGAACAUAUGGAAAUUUAAGUUUGUAAAUGCUUUCCUUUCCAGCGUCCUAAAAGAAUUUACAAACUGGGAAUACACAAAUCGAAACUGGAAUGAAAAAGAUGACAGAUCUUAAUAACCUCAAACAUUCACCUUCUUUUUGGCAAACAAGGGGCAUUUGUGAAAUAAGACACCGCAUGUGAAGAUCAAACUUAAAUAUACCAAUAUGUGAUCCUAAUGAAUAUCCUUUCUCAUUUUACAGGACACUCCUGUCGGUCACCCUUCUUAGGCUUAUAUAUCUGAAUUGUACUAUAAUUUUCCAAUAUAUUAUUCAUGUUCCGCAUCAAUUUCAGCAACAAUGUCUUGAUGGCAUCAUGUUAAUUACCAUCUCUCCUCUUGCUUAAUCUACUCAGUCCAAACUAUUUGUUCUGUACGGUGCAACAAAAAGCAACCGUAACAUGAAGGAGACAAAACUUCCUCCUCAACAAUCUAAAACCGAUGUUUUUUCUAUGUCGCUGCAGGCAUCUCAGGGAAGAUAGGAAAAAAAAUAAUUCAUGCGAUUGGGAAGAAUGAAGUACAAAAAAGAAAAAAGAUACAUUUUUUACCCGUUAAACGAUUAAAUCGCAAAGAAAAUUGAGCACCGUCCUGGAUCAAACAAGUAAGAGGAGAAAAAGGAGGCAAUAACUUCUUCGGAUAUUCCAAUUACACGAUCCAGAAGCAACUGAUAUACAUCUCACCUCCAAGGGAGCCAUCGGGCUCUGCAUCGGCACGGCCCGGACGGCCGAGCCCCUGCGCGGGUGACCACCAUCGUCCACCACGUAGCUCCACCUCCGCCCGUCGAUCUCCUCGCAGCAGAGGACCCUGGGCGCGGGCGCCGCAUCGAGGGCGAGCCCGCCCACAGGCGGUCCGAACCUGAUCUCCGCCUGAACCCAAUCCGCCUGCCGCUGCGGCAGAGGGGGGUGGGAUCCGAGCGGGGGCGAGGCGAGAGUGGCCCGAACGGCGUCCCGGACGAGGCCACGGGCAUCCGGGGCGCUCCCACGGGUCAGGCCCAGGGCGGAGCUGGCAGAUUUCUUCAACGCGAUCGGAGCCAUCGAUCGAACAAGAGGAGGGAAGGGAUUCGAUUAGGUGAUGAAGAAGAAGAAGAAGAAGAAGAGGCUAUGGAGGAGGAGGAAGAGAGCCUCGGUUUGAUCGCGGCCGCAUUUGGAAGGCGUGGGCGCGAGCGUGGGCGUGGGCGAUGGCGAUCGCGACAACAACCGAACAAAGGAGCGGAGUAAUAGAGGUGAAGAGGGUGGAGGGCGGUAGUGGGACAGUUGGGAAUAGUGUUGCAUGGUUGGCUGUCGAUGAGGAACACCUCAUUUAAUCUGCAUAUAUAUCAACCACUAUUAUUCUCUUCUUUUUUAUAUAUAACAUUAUUUCAUCUGUAUAUAUAUAUAUAUAUAUAUAUAUAUAUAUAUAUAUAUAUAUAUAUAUAUAUAUAUAUAUAUAUAUAUAUCAACUACUAUUAUUCUCUGGUUUAUAUACAACAUUAUAUAUAUACAUGUAUAUACAUUAUAUAUAUUAAACUGUAAAAUUACUGAUGGUACAAUUUGACACACAUUUAGGUCUCAUCAGCUAUAAAGUUGAUUGAAUGAUCUGAUGGCAAUACGCCAUGUGUUAAAAUGAAGGAUGGUAUUGACUCCUCACAUAUGAACAAAAACUUAAUAUCAAGACCUAAGGAUUGCCAGGUAAAUAAUAAUAAUAAUAAUAAUUAUUCUUAUUAUUAUUUGCAGUUCACACAAUUGGCACUGGGAUCAACCUGUAUUGGAUUUGAAUGGAUAAAAAGGAAGAUACAUAGCAUUACAGCAACUUAUUAUGAUCAACCUGUAAAUUCCUAGAUGAUUUGUUCUCAAGCAAAAUCCAAACAUUGCUCUCAUAAUCCACCACAAGGAACCCACCAAGAACUGUAAUCCAGGAAAGCUAUGUAGCUCAUGAUAUACCACAACGAAUGCUCUCUCUCUCUCUCUCUCUCUCUAAUAAUGACUUACCCAGAGGUUACAAAAGAGAAGAGUAGUGAGCCCAUUCAAAAUUAUGGGCUUUCUUAUGGACAUUCCCAUUAUAUGUGUGUGUUGAGAAUGAAUUAUGCUUGCCGUAUAAUCCGAAAUAAGCAACCCAUUGUCUUGCAUAUGUUGACAGACAUCAUAGUCGUAAGGAUCUCACAGAGAAGAUGAGUUCCUCAAGUUGGUGGAGUGAAGACACAAUUUGUGCAAGCAUGAAGACUGUGUUUGACAGUGUUUCAUCACUAAUGAGAUCAGUCCUAAAUAUUGCAUCACUAGAUGUCAUGCCGAUUAGCUAUAUGCACUUGCUUUUUGUUUGCAGCAUAUGAUUUCCACUCAGAUAUGCUGCCUUCUGGGGGAGGGGGGGGAUAAAGAAUAGUUCAUCGUUGGCAUCUUUGCUAAAGAACAGUUCAUGGGUGGUGGCAUUCUUCUUUAACCUCAGUCGGAAGAAUAUCCAACAAUGGUAGGAUUUAUGUGCCUUCUUCUUCCCUCUCAACACCUGCCUUCUCGUUGGAGAUGUUUUCUUAUCAACCCAACACUUGACAGACUCCUGAGAGUUCUGCAGCAUUUCAACAAGCAAAUAUAAUGGUCUUUGGGAAUCAGAAAGUUCCAUUAUGUGGUGGAGAAUAUAUACAUACAGCAUUUAAUCACCCACUUAAGGAUGCUGCAGCAAGUAUUAUAUUGGAGCUUUCAGUAAUGGCAGGAGUGAUGAAACUAAGCCUGGAUGAGGCCAUGGUUCUCUACUACCUGCUAGCAUAUCUUGGAUGGCCUACCUACAUGGGAAGCAGUCAAUGACCAAGUACCUCUCUCAGAAAACUAAUACAAGUAUCAGCAAUAAACUAAUCAAAGACAGUGUUCUAGUGCUCGUCUUGUUCGGAUAAGCAGUCCCAUAAAGAAGAUUUGCAGAAUCAAUCGUACCAUGUCAUUCUGCAAUGGUACUGGUCUAUUUCGUGUGCAAAAUAUUCCUUCUCCAGUCCCAAGAACCCUAGGGUUCAGUGGAAGGACACCAGCAUGGUCUGAGAAGUCCCAAUACAUGACUUGUUUUUGUUAGAAUUCGGAUAGAGUCAUGAAAGAAGAGUGGUUGAGGAACAAAUCAAUGCGUUUAAAUGUUUAAGCUUAUAAUUAUAAUGACAUUAUAAUGUCAUUGUUUCAUGAGGAUGAGAGUAUAAGAAUGAAUAUAUUCUUAAUAAUAAAACUUUAUAAUUUCUUCGACUUUUAAAAUAAUAUCUUUUAUCUUCACACACUAUGUAUAAGAUAUCUUAAUAAUUUCUUAGACGUAGAUUUACAAUAUCUUCCGAGAUGAUUUUGCCUUCUUUCAACAUAUCCAAUAUAUUCUUCAAUUUUUCAAAAGAUUUAUAUAUUUUUUAAAAUAUCAAAAUCUUCCUUCACCCAAAAUGAUCAAUUAAGAUAAUAUUUAACUAAAUUAAGCUUAGUCUCAACACUCCUUCUUAAUUUUUCUUCUAUCCAUCGUGCUAAGAAGUGCUCUAAGUGGUUUAGUGAAUAUAUCAACCACUUGAUCAUGAGUCUUGACACGAAUGUGUUCGUGAAAUUUCAAAUCGAUGUGUUUGCUCCUAAUAUUUUUCAUAUAGAAUACAAAUCCAAAUUUGUUUCUUUUAUCAUUAAUGUCACAUCCCAAUCGUUAUUGGAAUAUUCAAGAAAUUAAAAAUUAUUAGAAUUUGAAUAAAAUAAAUCAUGGGAGAAAGUACCUUUGAUGUAACGUAAUAUUCUUUUAGUGACCUUUUUAAUGAGUUGAUUUAGUCUCUUCCAUCAAUUGGCUCAUCAAUCCAACACCAUAUAAAAUAUUCGAUCAUGUCAAAUAUUUUAAGCUUUCAAUCAAGUUCUUAUAAAGAGUUUCAUCCACCUUCAUCAUUCUUUGAUAAUUUAAUAUCAUAAUCUACUGAUAUGCUACUUAGGUUACCAUCUUCCAUCUUAAACCUCUUAACUAUUUGUUUUGCAUAUGCUUCUUGUGAAAUAAAAAUGUCUUCUUUGUUUUAUUUCACUUCUAUGUCAAGAAAAUAGGAUAUCAACCCAUAUCGGUUAUAUCAAACUCCUUUGUCAUGACUUGCUUGAAGUCUUGAGACAUACGAGGCUUACUCCCAAUAAAGAUUAUAUUAUCUACGUACAAGCAAAUAUAUAACAUUAUUCUAUCUUCUUUAAAGUAUAAUGAUUUUUCAUAAGGAUAUUGUAUGAAAUUAUCGGCUUUAAAAUAAAUAUCAAAUCUAGCAUUUCAAGCUUCUUUUAACCCAUAUAGACCCUUUUUCAAUCUUAAACCAUUAUUUUCAUGUCCUUUCUUAAUAUAUUGCAUAGGUAGUUCAAUAUAAACUUUUUUUAAAAAAAAAUUAUUUAAAAUAUAAAAUUUAUAUCUAAUUGAUAAAUUUAUCAUUUAUUUUGAGCUACUAAUGAGAUGAGUAAUCUAAUAAAUUUUAUUCGAGCAACGAGAAUAUGUACCUCAUCAUAGUUAAUUUCAACCUUUUGCUUGUAUUUUUUUUGUUACUAAUCUUGCUUUGUAUUUUUUAAUUUCUUCUUGAGCAUUCUUGUUUACUUUGAAAAUCCACUGGACUCCCAUGGGUUCAUGACCUUUAGGCAAAGUUGUGAUCUCUUAUAUCUUUUUUUUGCCAUUGAUCUCUUCAUCCAUUGCUUUCCUCCACUUUAAUUACAUCUUUAAAAGAAAUAACUUCUUCAUUAGCAUAAAGACAAAUAAGAUUGGGUUGGUUUGGUUUGUCACUUUAUAUAAUUUUUGUAUGCUCCUUGUCUUUUUUGGUGUUAGACUUCUUUCCAAAGAUGAGAUUAAUACAGGAGAUGAUGGAGGUUGGACUCUUCAUUUAUCACUUUAUUUUUAUCUUUGUCUUCAUCUCGUACUUCCAUUAUAUUUAUACUCCAAUUCUAUAGAGUAUCAGGACAUCUUUGUCCUAAUACUCUAUAUCUCUACUCAUGUAUAAUUUGUGUUCGUUUAGAUCAAAUAACUUGUAGGCUUUGAAUCGAGUCUUAUAACCAAUGAUAAUAUAUUUGGAGCUUUUGUCAUCCAAUUUUAAUUUUCCUUCACCCGAACCAUAAGUAUAGGUAAUGAAUCCAAAAUCUUUAAAUAAGAGAUGUUAAACUUAAAUAAGAAAUGUUAAGUUUUUUUAUAGCGUUGUGUUUUCUAAGUUCAUUGUUAGACAUCUAUUAGAUAGAUCACACAACAAUUUCACCCCAAAACUCCUUUGAUCUCUUUUUUGCUUUGUAGCAUGCUUCUAACCAUGUUGAGGAUGGUUCAAUUCUUUCUCUCCAUCAUAUCAUUUUGUUAAUCAUUUUGUUAAGAAGACUAGGGUGCCAUCAAUAGUCUUUGAAUAUCACAUGCUUCACAAAAGCAUUCAAACUCCUUUGAUAUGAAUUCUCCUCCACGAUCUAAUUAUAAAGCUUUGAUGGUGUACCACUUUGGCUUUUCACUUGUGCUUUCAACUUCUUGAAUGAUUCAAAAGCCUUUAAUUUCUCCUUUAGGAAGUACACUCAUGUUUUUUACUAAAAUCAUCGAUAUAUCAGUGUGGAUUAGCUUAAGAGGCUUUUUUUGCAUGGUAGCUUGUGAAGAAUAUAUAUUUUAUAAAAUUAAUUUUGAGAGUCGAUGUAUGGUAGUCCUUUCAUUAUCUUUUUGUUUGAUAAUAAGUUGAGUACACCAAAAUUGAGAUAUCUAAACCUCAAGUGUUAUAUCGAAGAGUUAUCUUUCAAGCUAGCAUUGAAGUAUUUGUCAUCAACAUGCUUUAUGUUUAAUAUAAAUAAUAUAUUUUUGGUCAUUUGAACUUGUGUAAUUAUCUUCAUACCUUGAUUUCUUAGUGUGAGAGUUCUAUUCUCCAUGUAUAGAUUAUAUCCUUUUUUCAAAAAUUAUUAUAAUAUUAAAAUAUUUAUCUUCAUGUUGGGCAUAUAAUAGGUAUUAGAAAUAAAAUAAUAAAAUUUAUUUUUAGUUUAAAUAAGGAUUUUACUUUUCUCCUUUACUUCCACCUUUAAGAAAUCUCCAAAAAAAAAACUUGUUUAUUGACUUAUUCAUCUAGCUUGAAGAACAUAUGCUUGUACCGACACAUAUGGUUGCUUACUCCACUAUUUAAGUACCAAAGGUUAAUAUUGUAAAUGUCUCUUUUUUUUUGUGCUAGUAAUAAAAUAUAAUCAUUCUCUUUUUUCACAUAGUUAGUCUUCUCAUCAACUUGGCUAGAAUCAUUAUACCAAUAUUCUAAUGAGUAAUGACAAAUCUUAUUGCAAGUAUAAUAAUAAACUUUGGAUUUGUCAUACCAUCUUUCUUUUAAAGAAUCACAUCUUCCUUCUUUCUUGGGACAUUCUUUAUUAUCUUUAUUGUGUUGUGCUUGUCCUUAGUCUCUUCUAUAGCUUCUACCAUGACCUCGACUACAACUAUGGCCACGAUCAUGAUCCCUUUGGGUUCUUUCUCCUUUGGCUUCUUCAUUUUUAUCUUUAAGAGAAAUCUUAUUUUGAAUAGCUUGCUUCAUUUAUUUUUACUUCUUCUUUUAUAUUCUUUAUUCAUAUGCUUGUAAUAAGCCCAUAAGCUUAUCAAUGGUCAUGGCUUAUUCUUCAAUGACAAUCACAAUAUAGUCAAAUUUUGCAUCUAAGGAUCUUCAAAUUUUCUCCACCACUCGGUUGUCUUGUAAUGUCUCAUCAUUUUUCUUAAUUAAUUAAUAAUAACCAAGACGCUUACGAAAUAGUCCAAAAUGAACUCUAUCUCUUUCGUCUUUAAUGCUUUAAAUUCAUCCUUUAGAAUUUGGAGUCAUACUUCUUUAUCUUUUUUAUUCCUUUAUAAGAAUUUUAAAGAUCUCCUAUGCUUGUUUGGAGUUGGUGGCGAUGGCAAUUUUCCAAAUGCUUCUUUAUCAAGCACUUGAUAGAUCAAGAAGAGAGCUUUCUUAUUUCUCUUUCUCAUGUCUCUCAAAGAAUCAUUUUAGUUCACCAUGAGUGUAGGGGCUCAUUGUACCCCUUCACUACUAUCUUCUAUAUAUCUUAUGAUCGAAGCAAGGCUUUCAUUUGGAUGCUCUAAUUUUUAUAGUUAUUGGUGAGACGGGGGAUAGGGAAUGAUAUAUUGAUAGUUAUCUAUGAUACCUCUUUGCUAGGAAUUGAGUGAAGUGGUAGAAGAAGAUAAAAUACUAACUUUGUUGGGUUCAAACAGAUUUUUGGAUAGUCUAUAUAUGCCUUGCUUCCAUUUGUGAUUGCCUUGAGCUAAGAAUAAGAUCAAGAGGCAUCAUUUUAAUUGCUGAAACUAAUGGAUGAGGCUCAUCAUUAAAAGGCAUCUAGAUUUUAAGAUUACACUUAGAUAUUCCCUUUAAAUGAGCAUCUAAGUAUGUGCUUUCAAAGGAAUUCUUCACUUUGAGGCAGCACAGCAUGCUUAUCUUGAAGCUGCAAAGAGAAAGAAGUUACAGCUAAAUUAUGAGGUCACUCCAACAUCAGCUGGUUAACUUAGAUUAGCCCCUUGUUUGCAUGUCCUAUCUAGCAAUUUCUCAAGCUGUUGGUGCAGCAUAAAAGGGGAGCAAGUGGAAAUAUAAGAGUAGCCUAUCCACCCAAUAGGCAUGCAUAAAAUGAGAGCAAUCUUCCUUUUACGAAGCUCCAAUAAGAUCUUCACCUGGCUUUACAUUUUAUUAAGGAAAAGGGUUAUUGGAAUCUAAUCAAGCGUUAUACCCCAAACCACAAGCAUCCAUGAGGCACCCCACAAGGGUUUGUCAUGCUAAAAGUCUCCAUGUUGUCACUCUCCAAAACCCUAGUAAUGCAGCAUGGGAUUGGAUGAUGGAUGCAGGUAGAUUUCUUCUAUGCAAAGAGUUCAAUUUAGCUUCACCAAGAAGAAAAAGAAAACUAAAUUUGUUUAGGGACAGGUUCUUGCCUCACCCACAAAAGAGGAGGAAAGGAUGUGAUGUGACUUGUGGAAACAUUUUGUUUAGGUAAAGCUUCCUAGCUUUCUCACGAAGAGGAGGAGGCAGUCGCAAAGCAAAAAGAAUAACACUCAUGGAAGCAUGAUGACAUGAUUCAAAGAACACCAAGUGGGGGAGAACAGGAUGUACAUGAAGGCCAUCGAAGGCCCUUGUGCUGCUAUGCCGUCUGCAGAACUCAGUGCCGAUGAACUUUAGAGAUCUUAGCCCAUAUAUUCAAAGUAAUGGAGGUGGUACUACAGUGUGUAAAGAUGUGGGAACGAAGCUCACAAAAACUACUAUAUAAGGCUAACUAAAGUUCAUGGAUCUAUCCGACCUUGAGCGAGGUUGAGAGGACGAGAUCUCAGGGUAGGGCAACAACCUCGAAGCUAGUCUAAACUAGUGGGAGGUUGUCUGCAAGGAUGGCACGCGGCAAGGUGCAGCUGAAAAGGAUCGAGAACCCGGUCCACCGACAGGUCACCUUCUGCAAGCGUCGAAUGAGCCUGCUCAAGAAAGCUAACGAGCUGUCGGUGCUGUGUGAUGCCGAGAUCGGCAUCAUCAUCUUCUCCACACAUGGCAAGCUCUACGAGCUAGCCACAAAGGGGUGGGUACUUUUUUUCUGCUCGUUGCCUUCCAUUAACUCACUACUCCUAGAGAUGCAGACGAGGAACUUUAGACUGAUGAACUAUGUGGCAACCAUCUAAAGGACGAUGGAAGGUCUGAUCGACAGGUACAAGACGGCAUGUGGAGAUGCUCACAGUACCGCAGGAGGUGGUGAUGCAAACCAAUCUCAGGUGAGUUUAUGUAUGCUUGCACCUCCUUCACUGAUCCAUCUAUAGACGAUAGAUAGAUUAGCACUGCAAGAAUGAUUUAAGCAAGCAGUUUGAGGAGGGAUCAUGUUGGUUUCAUGGAUCUAUAUACCCAUUGUUCUUCUCCUAAUAAGAUUAUUGGGGGUCUUCUGUUUCCACAUCUUGACAUGUAGGAGGGCAUGGACCCAUGCAAAGUAACCCUAUAGAAAUGGUGUAAAAGGCUUGUAGUAGAUUUGGAUUUUGGUCUGGCAUGUAACCGAGGAAGGUUGAGUUCUACCUCCAUCGCUCCAUGUUCUUUCCAUCAUUUCCACUGUGAAAGUCCUGUAUCUGCUUCUCUCCAUUGCCAUGCUUUGUAGAACACAGUCAUGGUGACCAUUGCUUCAUGAUAAAAUUGCAGUAACCUCAGUUUCAUGUACUCUGUGCGCAUUAAGGAGAAGAUCUCUAUCUGUAAACUGGGAGAUCAUAUCUAUUCCACACAGGGGUUGGGUCUUUCAGAAAUAAGUUUGUAUGAGAUUGCAAGCAUGGGUAGAAAUUAUUAUGGAGAGUACACCAAGUGCUUUCAUGUCACUUCUCGGGGAAAAUUCUAUAUUUGGGGAGUACACCAAUUGCUUUCAUAUUAUUUUAUGUGUUUCCAACUUCUUAAACAUAAUAGAUACAUUCAUGUCCACAAUAAUGUCAUCUUAUGGCCUUUAAAUUGAGAAAAAGAAAGAGAGAGAGAGAGAGAGAGAGAGAGAGAGAGAGAGAGAGAGAAAGAGAGAGAGAGAGAGAGAGAGAGAGAGAGAUUGUGACAUACCUGCAAUCAAAAUUUUCUUCUUCAGAUCCAAAGUCAGAGAGUAAUACCUCACUGACAGUAUGACUAUUUAGAUGGAAUGAGUACUUCUAAGGGACAACAAAAUGAAUACUUUUGUUGAGAUGUGGAACAACCAAACUGUGUGACUCUUUUAUAACUCCUAUGCUUAUGUGUAGUGUAAGGUAAACAUUGUCUUCUGAUGGUUCAGCAUUGUCUUCCUUCCAUUAGGAAUUUAAGCAAGAGAUUUCCAUGUUGAAGAAAGAAAUUGAUCUGCUGCACAAGAGUCUAAGGUAACAUUUGAUUCCACAGUUAGAUUAAUCUGUACUUCUUCAUAGAAUUAGCUACAUGUAAUAUCAUGAAUAAAACAUGUACAUCUUUCAUUAUGCCAACAAGAAAGAGCAGAUCUAGAAAGACAUUUCAUGAUUAGAUGUGUGCCUUCAGCUAAUCUCUGCAAUGAGUCAAUGCAAUUUAUACCUUAGCCUGCAUCUUCUUGCUUGACAACAUCCUGCAGGAGGUUCUCAUAACUGCAUGCUUGAAUAUUCUUGAAAUCAUUACCAUGCCUUUUUGUUAUAUUUAACUUCUUUAUUAUGUAAUCAAGAUCUUAUUCUUUAUACUUAAAUACCAACAAAAGAAAAAGAGGAGAAAUUUGAUAUGAAGCUUAAGACGAUAUUGUCGAGAUAUAGGCAUAUUCAUGUUACAUAAAAAAUGGAUAAUGGAUUACUGAUCAUUUCAUAGUUUAUGAAUGAGAAUAAGGAUUCAUUUAUGCAAAGCCAUGAUACUUGGUUCAUGCAUUCAGCAGACUUACAUAUGCUUGCAGUCAUACAUAAAAACCCUGUCGUCGGCUGCCGGUUUAGAAAUCUGAUACAAAAUUCUUUUCCUUUCAUUUCUACUCGUAUCAGUAAUCUUUAUCAUACUAUUUUUCAUCGCCGAAAGAAAGCUAUCAGAACAUAUCGGAAAAAAAAAAAAAAAGAGCUUCGGAACAAAGAUGAUAUGCUUUGCAUUUAAAUUCAAGUAUUGGUUUUUUCUACAACAGAUGCAUGCUUGGAGAGGGAAUUGCUGGACACAUGACACUGGAUGAACUGCUCGUCCUAGAAAAGCAUCUUGAGAUGUGGAUGUAUCACAUCCGUGCCACAAAGGUUAGAAGGAUCUUCCUUUUUACUAGAUGAACUGACAGCAUGACUAAUCUACAUCAAAGUGGAUGUGAUCUUAAUUGAAAGCUUCCAAAUUCAGAUGCAGAUCAUGUUCCAAGAGAUCCAAUCCCUGAAGAACAAGGUAUCUACUUUUGCAAGUCCUUCAAAUUCUAGAUUAUCCAGUGACUAAUCAGCAUGAAAAUUUCACCGUCAUGAAUUGGACUAAAUUGUUAUCUUAGAUGACUACAUUGCCUUUGGACUUUGAAUUGUUGGUUUGUUGUUCAGGAGGGCAUCUUGAAGGCAGCAAAUGUGUUUCUCCAAGAAAAGGUAGUAUGCAAUCGGACUGUGAUAGAUACUCCAUUAUGGAAUGAAAGAGUUGACCAAUUUAUUGCUUGCUGGUGCAGAUAUUAGAGCAAAAUAGCCUCUUUGAUGUGUCUCCAAUGCUUGUACAGCAAAAUGGUCAUUUUGAUGCAGGUCAAAUGGUAGCAGCUGACAGUCCAUACCCACUAACAGUACAAUAUGAGCAUUCAAAUCUUGGGGGCUCUGAUAUGGGCUUCUCUUACUUAUCACAAUAAGGUUUGGAAAGAACCUUGUAAGAUUCGAGUCUGUCUUGUUGUGUCAUAUGGUUCUCAGAACUGUGUAAUAUUCCCAAAAGGCUGGGGUUUGUAAUGAUAUGUUUGAACUAUGAUGGACUAUCCCAUUUAUGUGUAAGCUUUGAUCUGCGCAUGACUGCUAUCCUUCCUAUCUAUACUACUCGAGUAGCAUUAGCAGCAAAGGAGAAUUUAGUGAUUGAACUGUGGUCUGGCUUUCUGCAUGCUUAACCAUUUCAAGACUUUAAAGCUUCAAGACUUGGUGGUUAAUCUCUUGUUGACAUUGUCUUUUUGAUCAUUGAAGUCACAGAUCUUUGUGUUCCACCAUACAACUGAAAGUUCAGAGCUAUCAUCCACAGUGGACAACCAGAGGAAAUUAUAACUUAGCUUAUAUACAAUUAAGCUCUAAAUCAUAUGCAUUUCUGGAGAUGGGAUUUCAUAUGUUGUAGCCAUCCUAAUAGAGUGUAUAUGGCUUUCAUAAGAACAAGAUUACUCUUCUCAUCAAUCAUGGUUUCAAGAGAUGGUCUGCUUCUGGCAAAGAUAUUAGCCAACAAAAUGGAAGUGAACAAUGCUUCUUCAAAGUGCCAAAUCUUGUUAUUUUGACAUAUAAUCAUGAAAUAAGCAGAGUUAACUUAGUGUUUUUGGAUUCCAAAUAAGUGCCAUUCAUUAUUCUUUAUUUGAUUUUUAAUUACAAAAAAUACUUCCAGAAUUGGUGACAUUCUUAUUAAUCCCUUCAAUCUCAGUUUAGCAUAAGCUUAUGAUAUUUAUAUAUUAUAUUUAUUCCUAUCAUAUACAUCCAUUAAUCUAAUUUAAUCUAAUACAUUCACAAAAUUUUCACAUUUCAAUAGGGUUGCUCUAAUGCUUAUGAAUGAACUAUGAAUACAAAUGCAAUUAUGCAUAUAAAUAUAUCUAGACAAGAAGACAUUUUUCAUGUAUGUUUAUGUAUAAUAUCGCCAUACAUAUUUAUGUGUUAUAAUGCUAAAUCAAUUUUUUUUUUUUUUGCCAUCUGUUUAUUUUAGAAGCCAUAUGUUAAGACCCAACUUGAAAGACUUUUUUUCUUUUUUCCAAUAAUGUAAAGAGAAUAAACACAAAUUAUUAAUUACAGAUACAUCUAAUCCUACAAACUCACAAUCCUUUAAUUUAGAGUGAGUUACAAAGUCUUGAUAUAAAUGAAGUAUUUUUAAUAGUAAUUAUAUUAUUAUUAUUAAAUUUUUUUUUAUUUUUUGAAAAUAUAUCAUAAAAAUUAUUUCUCAGAAUCUUAAAAUAUUUUUCCUUUUCUAUAAUGUAUAUGAUGAUUGACAUAGCAACAUUUAGGAAAAUAAACAAGAAAAAAACUAAAUAGGAAAAAUAUGAUUUUUUUAGAAAUACUGAAAAUAAGAUUAAUACCAAAUGGAUUUAAAAAAUAAUAAUAAUAAUUAUGUGUUAAAAUUAUUUUUUAAAUUAUGUAAAUUGAAUAAAAUAUAUAAAAAAGCCAAAAAAAGAGUUAAUAUUUGAGUACCCCCAUAGGGCUCUUUGCUUUCUUUUUAUCCUCUCCGUUAUCUCCAAGCUCGAGCAGGGGCGAUGAAGAAAGAGCUACUGGCGUCGGCGCCAUGGCGGGGCGAGGAGCAGCCGCGUGAGAAGUUCGCGGACGCGAAGCUGAAGGCCACCAACGAACCGGGCGGCACGCCCACCAUGCACGUCCCCCGCAAGAAAAGGUCCGCCGCCGCCUCCAAGACCGACGAGGACCUCGAAGCCGAGAUCGAUCCCGAGCUCAGAUACAGCUUCCAGAGGAAUUUCAGGGUCAUUUAAUCUACCCCUUCCAAUCCUCUUUCAUCUUUUCUUAUGCUAAUUCACGAAAUUGAAAGCAUGUGGACUGCAAAGUUCAAAUCUUUCUUUUGUUUUCUUCCCUGCUUUCUUGAAACUGGUUCGCGGUUUAGAUGUAGUACUCAGAUAAGAGUGGUCUGGUUGGGUCGCUAAUUGCUCCCGAUUUGCUCGGGGGGUUUUUUGGUGGUUGGUAACCUAAAAGAUGAUGAUGGUAGGUCUUCAUGUUAAAAGAAAGAAUUUUGGUGGUUCUCUUCCGAUUCGUGAAUACCAGGUAACGCAAGAUGAGAUGCCGAGUUGGGGAAAGACGGAAACCUAGAUUGACCUUUAUAUUGGUAAAAAUUGGAGUUCACUCACAGCGUUGAUGCUUUUAGUAAGGCCAACUUACUUGCGUCUAAAAAGUUUUAUAGAAUCAUGAAAUAAUGUGUUAUGGAAUUUGUAUCUUGAUUUCUUUUUCUGCUUUUCCCAUCUUUUUACUGCAUUAUUGCGCUUGUUUGAUGCAGCCUUAUGAGUGUGCUCAUUGGUAGUAACUUAGUUUUUUGCUACAUCGCUUCUUUUGUUGGCCCAAUCUAUUUUCCUCUUUCUGUAAUGCCUGUGCCAUAAUGUGCAUUUCAUAAUAAGCCUUGCAAAAUGGGUAGCUACUGUCAAUCUAUUUGGAUUCAUUGGUUGUUCUAUGACUUGCACGGUAUGCAGCAAUUUAUUCAGUACCCUAACGGUAGAUCUGGAGAGAACUAGUUGUCUUUCUUGCUGUUGGCAUGAACUUCAAAUUAAAGAAUUUUAACAGUCACUGAUGUGUUCACCAAUCAUGGAUCUUUGCUUUGUAGAUUCAUAUGUAAAUGUUCAAAUUUUAUCUAUAUUAGGUCUUUCUCUUGUUGUCGAUCAAAAGAAGUUCCAUCAUUUCUUGGUGACGUUCUUUGAUACUUAGCUCAAUUAUACUGUAUGUUUCUCCAAAAAUACAUAUAGUAAUAAAUAUUCUUCUGCAUAAUAAGAUGAUAAUUGAUAAUUCAAUAUUUGGUCGUAUUGGUGUGACCCGUAGGCUCGUGAGGAAUUAUCCACUUUGGACGUGCCUGCACGAAUUUGCCCUUUUGGGGCUAGGGAGCCUCAAAAGGUGCCUCUAAGGGUAAGGGUGGCUCGAUGGGCUUAUAAACCCUUAAUUUUCAUUCUCCUCAACCAAUGUGGGACUAAAUGUCCUUAUCAAUGCUCUCCUAUAGGGGAGCCAAGGGCUCAUGGUUCUCCUUUUAGCGUCAUUCUGAUAAGUCAACAUUUGGUCGUCAUUGGUGCAACCCCGUAGGCUCGCGAGGAAUUACCAUACGGUUUUGCACUUUCGAGGCUCGUGAGCCCCAAUAGACAUCUAUGAGGGUAAGGAUGAUUUGGUGGGCUUAUAAUCCCUUGAUUCUCCAACUCUUCGAUCAAUGUAGGACUAAAUGUUUUAAUCAGUGCUCCCCAUAAAUGGCACUAGAAAAAGGGUCAUGAGCCUGUGGCUUCCCCACGGGGGGAGCACUGAUAAGAACAUUUAAUCUCACAUUGGUUGAGGAGUAGGAAAACCAAUAACUUAUAAAGCCUAUCGGGUCACCCUUAUCCUCAGAGGCAUCUUUUGGGGCUCACAAGCCCUGAAAGGGCAAAACCAAAUGAGCACGCCCAAAGUAGACAAUUCAUUGCGAGCCUGCGUGGUCGCUCCAAUGACGACAAAUGUUGACUUAUCAAUUAUGUUGAUGCUUUGUAGACUCUCUAACAUACAGUAAUUUGAUCAUCCAUGUUUGAGUUUGUCUUAGAAUAUCAUAUGCAAAUAUUCAGCGACCUCUUUCUGCCUUGUUUUAAUCAUGAGCUUCUUAUUGAUGUGUUGAUCUUCAAAUGGAAUGGGCCUGAAUAAGGCCAGGCAGAGAUAGAGUGUUAGAUGGAUCUGGAUUGUGCACAAAUAUCCAUAUGAUUCGUCUGAAUUGUGGGCCUUGACUCUUGUGUACACAAAAGUACAUGCUGUGGUAUGUACAGACAGCACUUAAUGACUAGCUGUACAUAACCAUGUCUCACAGGAUUUUGUUAAGAUGACUUCCACAGAUAGUUCAGUACAUAAGUGUGACAAUCAUAUGUAUGCUAUUAUUUCAAUAAGUUUUUAGUCAGAUAUAUAUAUAUAUAUAUAUAUACAUAUAUAUAUAUAUAUAUACAUAUAUAUAUAUAUAUAUACAUAUAUAUAUAUAUAUAUAUAUACUGGUUCUUGCUAUUGGAACUAGAUGUCCAAAUGAGGUUUCAAAUAUAAGUCAAACUAAUGUGUAUCUAUUUGUACUUAACGGUCUAAUCAAGGAUGGAUAAUGGACAAUAUAACUUGGUACCAUUCAAGAGUGUUUUUUUUUUUUAAGUGAUCAUGGACAUUAUAGGUCGGUGCACUAUCUGGUAUCUGAUAAAAUGUAAAAUCAAUAUCGGACUGAGUUUUUAAAGAUUGUAGCAAACUAAUAUGAAGAUACUUUAUGCAUGUAAGUGAUUUUCAGCUAUUUUCGUUCUACACUUGACUGUAUCCAGAAUAUGUAUUUUAGAGAUUCAUUAUGUGCCAAUGCCAUUAAACUACUAAAAAAAAAUCUUGAUCAGUACCUGAUCAUAUAACUUGGUACCAUUUAGGAUUCUUUUUUUUUGGGAUGUUGGGCUGUACAAAUUGGUAUAUUGGUUGGUAUACUGGUAUGAUGCUGGUUUAACUUUGUGUAAAACCGAUAUAGAACCGAGAUUCUAAACCUUGUAUUAAACUAGAAUGAAGAUAUUUAUGCAUCUGAAUGAUCUUUUCAUCCAUUUACUCUUUGUACUUGAUUGUAUCUAAGAUGAGUGUCUUGGAGAUUGCUGUAUUUCUGCAUGCUUUGCAUUGAAUUACUAAGACAUGUAUUUAAUCAAGUUCCUCAUCAUUUGAUGGCUUUAUUAUGUUUGGUUUUAAAAUUUUCUUAUUGUAUUUGCAGUUUCUUCAACAAGUGUUCAGCAUAGAUACACUUGUGAAACCUCUUCCUCCUGCUAUGGCAUAUAAUGUGUCCCGAAAUCUGAGUUUCUUUACUCGGAUAUUUACACAAUUUUGGGGUAAGCCUUCAGAUUUUAACAGAAAUUGGAUCAUUUAAAUGUGCUCAGCCACUUUUUGUUCUCUCUUCAUUCUCUUGCAAUGUUGGCAUCAUCAAUUCCUUUGUCAUACAAUGCUUCAUCUUUGAAGUUCGGUGUUAUCAUAGUUUUCUUUAGUGUCAUUGUUUGUGCUUUGCACUUUGGUUCUUUGCCCAUUUGUGUAUAUCUGGAUAUUAAAUUGUUUAUACAAAUUAAUUGGUUUCAUAAGCUGAAUAGUAAUGGGUACAUAUGGCACAUGUGAAAACUUUGUACAAGGAACAGCCACUGAUGUCCUCAUGAGAAGAAGAUUGAUAUAUCUGCAAUGGUGAUGAAUCACAUCAAGUCAAUUUUCUAGUUUCUCCCUUAUCAUGUAACCACAAAGUCAUCAUGGAAGAAGGGACUAAUGUUUCACAUAACUGUAGACACUUUGCUGCAUGUGGUUUUACAUUACACUAAACUAGUCUGACAGUUUCUAACUUAGAAAAUCAACUGAUAGUUUAAGAUAUUUUUGGUGAUGGAUACUUAAACAUUUGCAGGAAUUCCUUAGCUUUAUAAAUGAGACUAGUUGUAUAAUGUCAAGAUGUUUUCACUUGGCUGUCCACGCUAUGUCCAUCAGGAAUGGAAUAACAAAGAACACAUGAUAUCUUGGUUUCACUUUCUGAACCUGUUUUUCCUUCUUUUGCCCAAUGGUUGGCCUUUACUCAAAUUCUGUCCACAUCUUGCUGAAGUGAAAUAAAGUUCUUGUUUCACUUGACAAUGCUCAGAACAGUUAGUAUCACAAUGUAGACUCCUAUUAAGUUUAAACAAUCAGCUAUCCUAGUGCAAACAUAGGAAUAUGGUGAAGAAAGUAGAAGAUAUCUUCAUAAAUUUAUUAACUAUAUCCAAUCCCUAGAUCAACAAUUGAUGCAGAAAUUAAAUUGUGCAUGUGUCAGUCUACUAUUUUCUUACAAUCAACACCUGCUUUUUGACAAAAAUCAAACUCUGGCAUUAGAUUUCUUGUUGAGUAAAAUUCUUUCAUCAGGUCCAUAUAUAUAGCAUGUCUUUUGGGUCCUGCUUCUUUGUAUGACUUGCAUUGUCAUUGCUGAUAAUCUAUUUGUGAGAUCAAUGAUCGCAGCCUUCAUUCGUUAUGUUCUUUUCUUCCUGGUGUAUAAAUCCUUUAUUUUUCUUAAAAUUUGCUUUCACCUUGAACUGAUUUUCGUGUAAAUAAUUCAGUUCUACAGUUAUAUGCUUUCUUUACACUUUUGAAACUUUCUGUGCAUGAUAAAUCACUAGAAUUGUAUGGUUAAACAUCAUACUUGAGUGGCUUCUAAUUGAUUUUCAGCAUUGAUGAACCAAUUCCUUGUCUUGCUGAAAUUGGAGCCUAUUUCUCGGGCAUAAUAAAUCCACAUGGUAUGUAUGAUAAAAUUAGUGCUGCCAAUGAAGGCUCAUGUGAGAGAAUGCUACUGCUUUAAUACUGGAGAAUCACUCCCUUUCACAAAGAGAGGCUUAUAUCAACCCCAUCUAGAAUCGUGAGGAAUACUCGAGGUGAUGGCGAAUGCGACUAACUCGUGAAAAUGCUAUGUAAUUUAUGUCAAAUUGUUCACAACCCAUUUUGAGUAUCAUAAAAUAAAGCCUAUUUCUGUAAGUCUGCUUUUAAACCACUUGUUAGCUUGGCUUGUUUGUAUCUCAACAAAUGCAUAGUUCUGCAUCUGUAAAUAAAGAUAUUUUAAUUAAUUAACUCUUUGAUCUUGGUGACCAUCUUGCAGAUCCAGAGGGAAUUGCAAAUGCUCAGAAAUCACUUGGGUUAGGACAGGAAGAUAAGGCUCGUCGCGUCGACUGACUGAUGCAUGCCUUCUUCAGUAAUAUUCAGUUCUAUUAUGCUUAGCCUGUCACGAAUUUGUUCUUUGUUUCAGAUUUGAACAAGUAGAGUUGGUCUCAUGAUAUCUCUCUGUUCGUGUUUCAUACAACCAGAACCAAUCGUUUGGUCAGCUUUAUAUUUUGGAACUCUUUGGUAGACUUGUGCAUUAUUUUAUCUUUUGGAGGCUCAAAUAAUAUAAAUAGUGAAUCAAAAUGGUUCAGAUCCUGCUCUCAAUUUUUUUGAUCAGAACAGUUCGGAUUUUGUAUCUAUGAUAUCGAGACAUAUACUAUAAAUUUCAUUUUAUAUAUAUAUAUAUAUAUAUAUAUAUAUAUAUAUAUAUAUAUAUAUAUAUAUAUAUUGAAAUAAUCCCAUUGUUGAUGAGUUUAGGAUGCGAUAAAAUGAUCCGAAUAGAAUACAGAAACAUACAUCAUCGGAGCAGUGGGAACUUUGAGAUGUGAGAUUUGUAUGAUGACGAGAAGAGCAGCACUCGGAGAGGAGAAGACGAAACAGAACGCCUCAGGAGAAGCUCCAAAAUGGCUCCUCACACUCGUCGCGCUCUCGUCCUGCAACGACGACGUGUGGUGUGUGCAUGGCUCACAUGCGCCAACCCUUCUCUAUCUCUCUGGGUUCUGAUCUCCUCAACAGGACCUCUCAACAAAACGCUUACGACCCCUAUCGGCCAUUCUCUCUCUAUCGUUCGAUCGAUGGAUCUGUUGAACGCCGUCCUGAACUCUGUGGUGCCACCGGCAAGCAUGAUCAUUCUGGCCUUCGCCUGGCCAACCAUCUCCUUCCUCCAUGCCUUGGAGUGGUUCUUCAAGACCUUGUACAGAGAGAACAUGGAGAACAAGGUGGUUCUCAUCACUGGAGCCUCCUCGGCCAUCGGAGAGGUACGGUUGUGCACUAGUCAAUUCACUACAACUUAGCUCAUAUGAUCCAUACCACCGUCUCACUGUAGGAAUUUGCCCCUUUUUCAUCCUGUUGCUUAAUUCAUCCUUAUAUUGUCCAGUGAUGAAUGAGUUCAAAAGGUUUCGUGCAUUACUGGAUUUACUACUGAACAAUCGACUACGUGAGAAGAACUUGUAGACAUGUCUUUCAUAGAAGGAUGUCAAUCUACUGAAUCUUUACAUGGAGAAGCAGGUCAUUAGUGCGCUACAGGUUGUGAAUUGGUAUCUGGGAAGUUUGAGUAUCGCAUUUGUAUACAAUCGUUUACACGAGCAUGUAAGAUUCUGGCCAUCGGCGGCGGGGCAGUGCAGGUGGAGAGGCGAGUCUCAAUAGUAGUCCAUCUAGAAAGCUGCAUUUUGCAGUUCAUGAAUCGAUAACAAGUACAGAAAUAUAUGCAAAAGCAUAUUGAGAUGAACGAUGAACCAUAAAUUGGAAAUUUUGGUAGCUAUUUGUAUCCUAAAUGUUGUAUGUUAUUUUUCGGAUAGUAUAUUAUGUUAGCUCAAUUGCAUACUUGCGCCAUUUCAUCGAACACAACUUCAGAUGGUGAAAAUGUCGUUAAUUUUAUGUUGUUCCUACGAACCGAUCGACAAUUUUAAAUAACUUCUAUCUGUUUGUUUAAUGUUGACUAUAAAACCAAGUCAAAGUUUGGUGUGUGCUAAGUAGUAGACUAAUGUGUAUUAAGAUCACAGUAUCUCUAUUUUUAGAUUGCAAAGGAAAUGAUGGAAAUAAAAAACAUUUAUUUAUUCACAUAAACCGCUCUAAAUGUAGCAACUUAACAGAAUCUAUCUCUUUGUUGAUGGUUAUGGUUGCUGAGUUACAUUCAUUACUACAAACACUCAUUCAUCGCAAGAUUUUGAUCUAAAUUUAAUGUUCUCAUAAGUAAUUACAAAUGCAGCAAUUAGCUUAUGAAUAUGCAAGAAGAAAAGCAAAUUUGGUGUUGGUAGCAAGGAGGGAGAAUCGACUUUGGGGAAUCAGGGAGAACGCUAGACUCUUGGGUGCCAAGCAUGUACUUGUGAUGGCUGCUGAUGUUGUCAAGGAAGAGGAGUGCAGAAGAUUUAUAAGUGACACCAUAAGUUACUUUGGCCAUUGUAAGUUUCGAUAUUCUGUUAUGUAAAUUUGUAGGUUUUUAGUAAUCGAUUGGCAUCGACUGGACUCUGAUUGAAUUUGUUCUUCAUUGUCAUCCACACACACCAAUCUAGUCCUUUUACCAAUGUUACAAUAUAAAUUGAAGCUUCUCUAGCUGAUCUAAGACUACUCAUAUGACGUAAAUUUGUAGUUUUUAGUAAUUGAUUGGCGUCGACUGGACUCUGAUUGUAUCUGUUCUUCAUUGUCAUCCAUACACACCAAUCUAAUCCUUUUAUGAAUGUUACAAUAUAAAUUGAAGCUUCUCUAGCUGUUCUAAGACUACUCAUAUGACAUAAAUUUGUAGUUUUCAGUAAUUGAUUGGCGUCGACUGGACUCUGAUUUUAUCUGUUCUUCAUUGUCAUCCAUACACACCAAUCUAAUCCUUUUACGAAUGUUACAAUAUAAAUUGAAGCUUCUCUAGCUGUUCUAAGACUACUCAUAUGACCAAGCUACGCAAGUGAAUCAAUGUUUGCGACUAGGCACGAUAUGCAGUGAUCUUCUGAACAUGUUUUGCUUUGUGUGCUGCAUAACAAGAGAGUCUGUGUUGUUUCUAAGAUUAAUUGUUUGAAUGCAAAUUUUAUUCAGCAGUUUUCUAAUGUUUGUUCUGUACUUGUAUUGAGUUCCAUAUCUAUCUCGGCUUGAUAGGUUCAUGUAAGGCUCUGCUGUUAAUACAACUGUCAAUUAGCUGCUGCCAUGAAUCACAAAGCUUUAUUGUUCUCAUAAUCUAGGGAUGAUCAAUUAAUGUUAGCUUGAGAAAACUCUAUCAUUUAAUUCAAAUAGCAACUUCAAAUUAUCGAUGCCUAGUCAGUUUAGCGAGGCGAACAUGUUUCUUGAUAUCUUUGAAUCUUUUCAGAUGGUAUGUAAUAGUCGAUCGACGAUACAUGUUUCUUGAUAUCUCUGAAUCUUUCAGAUGGUAUGUAAUAGUCGAUCGACGAUACAUUUUUCUUGAUAUCUCUGAAUCUUUCAGAUGGUAUGUAAUAGUCGAUCGACGAUACGAUACGAUAUAGGGAUUACACCUUGUCGCAAUUAUGAUACUUGUUCUAAAUAUUUGUACUUGGCAGUGCAUCAUCUUGUCAACACUGCAAGCCUGGGGCAUAACUUCUACUUUGAGGAGGCCACAGACCCUGCUGUCUUUCCACACAUGAUGGUAUGACCACUGCCACAUCUGCUUGCUUCACUUUCUUCUUA